CCCGUUGUUCCAUUUCCCUGAGAGUCGGCAUAUACCUGUCAACGCUCUCCUUUCUCCUCUCAAGCAAUUGCUGCAGGUAUCGCAAUUUUUGCUUCUCCAUGAAUUUGAACUUGUCAUUUCCAUAGUGAUAAGGGCCAAUGGCUAGGACCUCUGGGUCAUAGGCUUUCUCGUUGACUUUGCGCAAUUGAUGACGGACCCUAAAUAUACUAUGCUCUAGCGAAGUGGGAGGCAUACUACGAAGCAUACUCUCGAUGUGGAUUGAAACAUGAUCUUGCACCACGGAACAGUCAUAGAUCCUAGCAUGCUGUAUUGGCUACAACAUAAUUAAUGUGAUAAUAAGCACAGAGUAAAGCAAGAUGAUGGAUUUUCAUGUUCUUGAAAUGGUUCUUCAUGUGCUUCCCUUUCAUUAAGAGCUACUUGCGAAAAAUGAUCUUAUAUAUACUCUAGCUAAUUUUUUUAUUUUGGUCAUCAUAAUAUUUUUGGGGAAAUGGAUACCCCUUAAACUAAUCUCCAAACAUCCAACACCCCCCCCCCCGGCGCCCCCUCCCCCUGGGGGCGCACCUCAAAAAAAAGAAAAAAGAAAUAAAUAAAGUGAUUUCCGAAUAAAUUUUUAGGAGAAAUUCUGCAUUUCCGUGUGAUUAUUAAUGGAAAAUGCUAACUAAGCACCGGAGUUGAACAUGUGGAGCUGGCAUAUAAUUUAAACAAAUCAAUAUAUUAGAAAAAAUUACAGAAAUGAUCUAACAGUAGAGGAUCGGAAAAGGGAAGGGAAAUUCAUGAUGACUUACUUGAUUGAAUUGGUGAUUGCUCAUUCUUCUCGCCAAGCUAGACCAAUUCUUCUCUUUUCGUGGGAUUGUGUAUUCAGUGAUAUGGGUAUAGAUAAAAUGAGACUCCGCCAAACAUCAACCUUUAAAACGAAAUACAAACACGUUUUACUUGAGACCCCACAAAAGAAAACACCUGUGAGUAGCUAGGGUCUUUCUUGCCCGAAAUAAACACCUGUGAGUAGCUAGAGGAUACCUAUAGAGCGCGAGACAACUCUCUCCAGAGAACUCGUAAAGUCGACCACUGAAAGCAGAACCGUAAAGUCGACCACGGAAAGCAGAACGACGGACGAGGUAAUCCGGACGAGCAAUUACAAUAAUGGCUGGGGAAAUUUUUUUCUGUAGCGUUUCUUCCUAAAGUUUUCAUGGACAGCUGUGUGUCUGUACGUGAUUGCAGAAGCAAAUCUCAAAUCUCAAAAAGAUUCCAGCAUUUUUUUGUCCAGUCGCUUUCUCCAUAGUUCCGUAUCGCAAUUAUAUAUCGCUCGAGCCUUGACAUAACAUCUCGGUAGCACAGAGCCAUGCGCCCUUCGAAGAAUCAAACCAUACGAGAUCUUGUGGACACUGGGCAUAUCUAGUGGGGUUGAUGCGACCGCGUAUCUACCGCACAAGAUCUUGUGGACACUGGGCUUCUCUACCCUUUUUAUCUGCAGCCCCACGGGCCUUUCACACCGCCAUAUCCAAAUGCGUUAUCUUCUGACUUGUCAAUUCCAUUCUUCUAGUCACAAGCUCAAAAAGAACCAACAACUCCAAAGGGUAGAGACGAUGAUAAUAUAGGUCAGAUAGUCUUUACAUCAAAUUAGACUAAUUAGCAUGGCUCGAUGAAUGGCACGUCAAUCGUAUUUCAGUAACGGAGGUUCCUAGCGAAAGUCAUCCUAUUCCGGUUACGUUGAAAAUGACUUCAAUCGGAGAAUUAGAUGUUUACAUAAAAUGCCCGCUUCCAUCUCCCCCUCCCAAAUAACCGCUCAAAGUGACUACACCUAGUGGUGAUAAGUUCCAAAGUGAACCGAGUCCCACAUAAAAUCGGUAAUUACCCAAAGAUGGAUCAAUUCGACUAAUUGGAAACUGGUCGUGUUUUGAUGAAAGUGAUGUUGAGAAGAUGUUGGGCUCUUAUCUUUGGCAUUCGGAAGAGGUGCUCCCCAAAAUCAGUGGUGGCUGUGAUGGUGUCGAAGCUGAGAACGCGAUCAAAAGUAAAACGGAGGAUACUGCAUGAGUAGCUUGCUAAGAGAAGUGAGAGAAAUCGAGAAGGCCAUGAAAGAACUUGUGCGGUGGAAUAAUCAUACCAGCCAAAUUGUGUACUCGCACGGCUUGUUACGUCAGACUCAGGCCUCGCACAGCUGAGACUUAAGAACGUUACUUCCUAUUCCGGUUACGUUGAAAAUGACUUCAAUCGGAGAAUCAGAUGUUUACAUAAAAUGCCCGCUUCCAUCUCCCCCUCCCAAAUAACCGCUCAAAGUGACUACACCUAGUGGUGAUAAGUUCCAAAGUGAACCGAGUCCCACAUAAAAUCGGUAAUUACCCAAAGAUGGAUCAAUUCGACUAAUUGGAAACUGGUCGUGUUUUGAUGAAAGUGAUGUUGAGAAGAUGUUGGGCUCUUAUCUUUGGCAUUCGCAAGAGGUGCUCCCCAAAAUCAGCGGUGGCUGUGAUGGUGUCGAAGCUGAGAACGCGAUCAAAAGUAAAACGGAGGAUACUGCAUGAGUAGCUUGCUAAGAGAAGUGAGAGAAAUCGAGAAGGCCAUGAAAGAACUUGUGCGGUGGAAUAAUCAUACCAGCCAAAUUGUGUACUCGCACGGCUUGUUACGUCAGACUCAGGCCUCGCACAGCUGAGACUUAAGAACGUUACUUCCGUGUAAAUGUUGAAUCAUGACCUAAAAAGGUUAUGUUCAGUACAAGUGCAAGAAUAUACAAAACACGAGAAAAGUUUUUACUUAAUAAAAUAAAUGCUAUUCGUAGCUUUAAACGGAUUGUCAUUUUCUGUAUUGAACUUUAGAUAAUUGUAGCGCUUUAUAAUUAUAUAUAUCUCAUGAACGAUAAAUAUAUAAAGAAAAAGAUAUUUGGCUGCUGGGUUUCGAGCCCAAGUCUCCGAGGCCAUGACAUGGCAUUCUUGCUUACCACUAAACUACAGCCCUCCUUCGUCAAAACAAAAAAUAUAUAUACCAUUUCGGUCUAAAUAGGUGGUUCUACAUCUAAAACCACAAAUCGGAUUUGUUUAUGCAAUUUCCAAUCCGGUCGAGUUUUUUUGCUCGCUGCUAGGUACAACCGGUGAACCAAAUGCUUACGGAAAUUUGCUUGGAUAAAAGUUGUUGAUUGAGAGGAUUCGGGUUCCAUUCUUCCUAUUGCUGACUUUAUCGGUCAUUCAAAAGCUACCAUUGCUGUAAUCUUAUUUUCUGUUUUCCACUUUUUUUCUUUUGCCAGAAUCCUCUAAUCAUACUUUUGUUGUCUUACUACGAGCUCACGAAAUUAAAUGCGUGUAUAAAAAAAAAAGAAAAGAUAAUGGAUUGAGAUUGUCUCUAAAAAUAAAAGGGUUAGUUAUUUUUUCCAUGAAUGAAAUGAGUGAAGGUAAUUAUUCUUUGAGAGGAGGAAAUAGAUGCUUGAAUUGUUGACAUUAAUUGUUAAUUUUUUAAAUAAUUUUAUGCAAAUAGAUUCUUGAAUUUCGUCUAAGACUCUGUAUAUUUGGUGAGUUGAGUAUAAUCGGCAUCCUUUCUUGCAUGAUGGAGAAUUGAGAGCUAUUUGUGUGAGAAGCAUGUUAAUUUCUUGAUCUAUAUAUGCAAAGUAUAUUCAUGACCUUUUUUUCCCAGCGAAUGAUUAUGGCGGCAAAAUGUAGGUAUUUUAGUUUCGAAAAGUAUGUGCUUUUUGACAAAUGAUAUCUUGAAAACACAGAAAAGCUUCUUCAAAUAGAGAUAUGCCAUGUGUCCUUUUUUUUAUAUGGCAGUCACGUGUGCUACAUCUACAUUACAUAUAUGACAAAAAAAAAAGAAAAAAAGAAGGAACAACAGCCAAAUUAGGGGAGGAAAUCAUAAUCAAAAGGGUCGAUAUCAUGAAGAAUCUUAAAUCGGUACAUUUAUGACAAAUUUACCAUAAACUAAUUAUUUAAUCAUAAAAAAUCCAAACUGAUGCACUUUUGAUAAAUUUACCCAAAACUAUUAUACUAGUGACGAAUUAACCCUAUGUUAGUUUUCAUUAAAUUUUUCUGUCAAAUUACUAAAUUGAAUUAUACGUGAUAGUUGACUGGUAUACCAAUUUGCGAUUUUACUCUCUGUUUGUCAUAUUUAUAUAAUUUUUUGUGGUAUUAAUCUAAUUUAACGGAUGAUAUAUUUGUUAUAAAUGUAUCAAUUUAGGAUUUUUAGCGGUUGAAUAAAUUAGUUUAUGGUAAAUUUAUCACAAAUAUAUCAAUUUUGAAUUUUUUUAUUAUCAGUCGAGAUAAGUUUGAUACAUAUAUAUUAGUUUGGAAUCUUUUAUGAUCAAGAAAUUAAUUUGAAGUAAAUUUAUUAUAUGUAUAUUAGUUUGAAAUUUCUCAGGAAAUUAAUUAUAAUCAAAAUUACAUGAUAAAACCAGAGCAACGAUCCCAAAGAUUCCGAAUGCACAAAAGUCGAAACCUUAAGCCUCAUUUGUUGCUAUGUUUAUGGGAGGAAAUCAAAUUAUGGCCAAUGGGAAUGGAACGAAAGACCUUGAUAGCAGUUGCAAAGUGGUUAGGAGUUCACUUCAAUUAGCCUCCACAGCAGAAGGCUAUUAAUGCACACGACGGAAGAAGAUGGAGAAGCAGAGGACAUCUGGCUAUCGAUAAUAGCGCAAGGUACAACAGACAAGAUUUUGAUUUUUUGUUUUUUAUCUUUUGUUUUUCUUUAGAGUAAGCACUCAACACGGCAUAGGCAUUUGAAUUUUUUUUUUCCCUAAAUGAAGGGGGAGCAACUCGCGUUUGCAUCGUCUGUUUUGAAAUAUAAGGAUCGGACUAGUAAGUAGUAAGUAGCUUAUGAUCAAAUCUCUGAUACUUUAACUCGUUUACAUGUAAAAUAUUUUCGUGUCAAUUAUAUAAUUUGUGCAAUUAAUAUAAUCACGUUACGUGAUUUUAUAGCUUGAGACUUACAAUUAGCAAGUUAGUGAUGAUGUGAGUUUCUAUGCUACUUAUGUAUUUGAGUUCUCAAACUUUUAUUUCAUUCGUCUAAGAAUUGAAAAUUGCAUUAAAAAGCAUGUGAGAGAUUCAGGUUGCUCUAUCGAUUUCUAAUGGACAGAAAUCACAUCCAGUUUACUUCAUUCCCUUUAGACGUGUUAACAGAUUGCGUGAGUAUGUACGUCUACAUGAUCAUGAAUUAAACUUGGAGACGUGCGAGUAGUCUCGGUUUCUGCCGAUUAUGGCCGAUUAUAGUUUUGUGGUUGUUUUGAUAUCUAGCUUGCUAAAUAAUGCAUAUUUAGAUAAUGCAUAUUUGGUGAUGUGGUUGACUUUUGGUAUGCUUAAAGCUUAUGCUUGCUAAUAUGUGAAAUUGAUUGCUUAAUUGUGCAAUUAAGUUCUUGGUUGUUGUUAUGGACUGUUAUUGCAAAAAAUGGAUUUUAGUAUUUAAAUAGAAAAAUACCGGGUGUUGGUUUUUUGACGCCAAAAAUGUUUAUAUAGUAUAUGAAAUCAUGAAAUUUUGAAAUGAGAGGGUACCAUGCUUACUAGUUCGAUUUAAAUGCGUGACCACGCAUGAUUAUUUUAUCGGGAUGAUUUUUAUUACGAAGAAAAUGAGCCAAGUCCAUUAUUUGAAAUUGAGGUAUUUUAGUGCAAAGUACAAUAUUUUUGGCCAAGUAUGGAUAUGUGUGUGGUUACUAUUAGAACCCGUCACCCAACAAGAGUUUGGGGAUGAUGCCUAAUUUUAUUGGAUGCCCGACAAGAGUCUGGAAGUCGGUCGCGGUGGAGGCUGGAUCAAUGCCCCUUUUUGGGAUGCUGUCUAAGCGGGAGUUUUAGAUGUUGCCAUGCUUGAUGGGGCGAGAUGAUGCCCAGUUAUGUCCAAUGACUACUGACUGGGGAGUUGACCGUGACCGAUGGGUAGUAAAAACUUGAAUAUACAUGAGUUGAGAUAGUUGCGCCUUAUUAUGGGGUAAAUGUGGUAUGGAAUGUGACGUAUCAUAAUAAUGUUACCUUAUAAUCGGGACCCAUGUAAUUGGUUGUGAUGAAAUGAUAUGUUCCAGUUAUUGAUUACGCUUGCUACGUUUAUAAGUGUAUAUGUGACGCACUAAUCUGCAGAGAUGUGCUGAGGUGAGGUAAGUUUUGUGUGACGCCUAUUUAGGCUGCCUCUGAGUGAAUUCUCGUCCUAGUCGAGAUUUAGGGUGUUGACUUGCUGAGAUUUUUAUCUCACUCUGUCGUGGUUAAAUAUUUUCAGGUCCUUAGAUGGAGAACUCAGGGCUUGAGGCUAAACGGUCCGGAGCAUAGGUGGCUCACUAGUCCUCGUUGGGUCAGACUUAUGUGUAUAGACCUGUAAGACUAAUUUGGCUUGUAUAUAAAGUGUUUUGUGAAAAUUGGUUGUCCUGCUUUUAUAUCCCAUGUUUAAUUGAUGAGAUUAUUAGUUCGCUUCCACAUGUGCAUAAAACGAAAUGGUCAGUGAUGCGUCUUAAGAUAUCGUAAAUUUUAGUCAACCGUCGAGGGAUAUGCACGUGUUUAAGAUUCUGGGCAUGACAUAUAGUGACCUAGCAUUGUCUCUCAAAAGUAAAAAAAUGAUUCAAAGUCCUUUAGUGGAGCCUUGAUUUUUUCAAUGUUGGGUUCAGUUUUUUAUCAAAAGAUUUUCUCAUUUUUUAUUAUGCUAAACUAGUUUUAAACUAGAGUUAACACUAAAACUCUAAUGAAGUUAGACAAAAGAUCAAUUCUAAACUCUUUUCUGAAUUUUUAAUUUUGUAUUACUUUUUAUUAAUUCUGGGAAAUGGACUUCGGACAAGGCCAGGGAAACCGGUCUGAUUACUGGUUUGAUCCGGACCCUAAAGAUCCGGGUUGCGUUAGGAUUCGGACCGGCCUCUAGGGCCCGGUCCUAAUGUGGUUAUGGCCCGAUGGACUCGGGCUAUAACAACAAUACGACCCAAGUUGCCAAUUUCCCCAUUUCUAGUCAUUCUAAGCCCAAUCGGCAGUCAGCCCACACGCUCAAUUCGGUCCAACCGAUUCUCUUAACCCAAUUUGCAUACUCGGCCCAAUUAAUUGAGCCCUUAACGCCUCAGUCCAAAUCAUUGGACUUUAUAAUCAGCUCGUCUUUAAUUCAACCUUGCCGGCCCCAACAAACAUAUCCCACCUAAGCUUCAUUCUGACAUUUUUUACAUUUUUUUUUAAUUUUCUAUUUUUUUAAUUUCUCUUUCCUAUAUAAUUUUAUUAUUUCCCUGCAUCUUCUUCCCCAAGAGCUCGUCGUCUUCUUCCCGAGCUUGCCUGCACCAAGAACGACGCCUCCUUCGGACAAGAUUUCGCCGAAGCUCCGGUCAUCAUUGGAUCACCCUCCGUCAGUCGUCCAUUCUGACCACCACUGGACCACCAUAUCGGCUGCCGCUGGUCUAUCAUCGACAACAAUCAAGACAAACUCAUUCUAAAUCGGCUGCGGCUUUUCGACCAAAGCAACAUUAAAAAAAUUUCGUACCAUACCAUGAGCACAUCGACAACAAUCAAGACAAACUCAUUCUAAAUCGGCUGCGGUUUUUCGACCAAAGCAACAUUAAAAAAAUUUCGUACCAUACCAUGAGCACAUCUACAUAGCAAAUGGAAGGGAAUGGGGAGCUAACUGUGGAGGACUCAAACCGCGGGCAUUGCAGGUAAGUAGGGGGGUCUCCGGCUGGAAGUUUUAUCCAUGACAAAAGUACAUCAUAUUAGAGAUAUUUAGAGUAUUUUUUAAAGAUAAUUGAGGAUAUUUUUCUUGAUUUUUCAUAUCUUUCGUAAUGGUGUAUUGAUUGUGAAUAACUUGGUUGGUUUGUUGCCUAGAUAAUCAUCUAAAAAAACCUAUAAAUAAAUUCAUGUAUUAUUUAUCAAAACACAAAAAACAUAUAGAAAAAUUCCACCAUUAUUAUUAUUAUUAUUAUUUUACUUUAUUCGUAUAUCAUCAUUUGAGAUAACUUAUGCCGCUUGGGCACUCUCCAUCAUUUUCCAAAAGUCAAUUUUUGCCGUUUUCAAGUAGUCUUCGUCAUCGUUUGCUCGUGACUUUUUUUUUGGCCAUACGAUGACAAAGGUUGAUGGUGAUGAAUCAAACCGUGUAUGUAGUUAGAAUAAGGGGUUGGUAUUUGUGAGUCUCAUCAUUUUAACUUCACUCAUCUAUAAAUAUCUUGCCUAGUGAAGUAAGUUUCCAUGUAUUUCCUUCUUUCCCUUUUCGGAUCCUCAGCUGUGUUGAGAUAUUCCCUGCACUAAACAAAAAAUUGAAGAAUGAGACCAUCUUUCUCUCUUGUAUCUAUAUUGGUGAUAAUGAUUUUAUUAAUUAUUGUGAUGGGCCUAAGUUGGCCCGUCUGCCCAUGUUGGGCCUAAAAGCCUGGCCCAUAAGAUUAGGGCCUAUGGAUGGAGGGAUACGUUGAAGAGUUGUAACUUUUGGGGGACGUCUUUUGUCGAAGGGACACGUCCUUUGGAGAGGAUGUAUUUAAGGGGGAAAAGAGAGGGAGGAAUGCACCUUUUGGAUUUACGUACGUUCCUCCUCCCUCUCUCCCUUAAAACACUCCAAAAAGAACAGUAAGAAAAAGGAGGAGAUACUCUCUUCCCCUCAAGGCAAAUUUACGUCAUCGGAUCGAACGGGAUUAGUUUUUCUUCCUCAUAUCAGCGUCGGUGUUUAAUCUGUGGCUAACAAGGUACGUUCGAUUCUGUGAUAUGCUUUAAGAUCGGUGAUACAUGUGAUUUUCCUGGGCUCGUCUUCUGCACUUGUUUUAGGGGUUCAAUUUAGUGUCGAAUUCGAUUUUUUGGGAAUCCGAUAUUCCCUACAUUGGUAUUAGAGCCGUCUUUCAUGUUUCCCGAUCCCCUUUUUAUGUUAUUGAAUUAAUUUUGCGGUCGAAAAUCGAGAGAAGCCGCUGCCAGUCGAUCGGGGACGAAAAAACCCGACACUUGCGUACUGUUCGUCCUUUUUUGUGGUCUUCUGUAAGUCAAAUUUUUUUUCUAAAAGCAUAGGAUCGAAGCCCUCGUCGAUAUGAGAAAAACGAGUGGCGAAUCGCCGCCGGACGCACCGCCACAAGCGGCUGGAACGAACGGGGGUCAUCAGCACGCGCCGACUCAGUUUCCCACAGGCACGUGUGUCGCACGUUUCGGCCCACGUGCCUGCGACGCACGCACGAAAGCCCACGCACGCGCGCGGCACGUGCCGGUCGGUUUGCCCGACCGGCCUAACCGGGCUUUCUAGUCCGAUCGGUCCAACCGGCCCGUCCGGUCCGACCGGUCCAACCCGUAGCCCGUUGACUCCGACCCGGUUGACCGUUGACCGUUGACCCAAAAAAAAAAGAAAAAAGAAAAAGAAGAAUGUGUUUCUUUUUUUAAUUAAGUCUAUGUAGAUUAUAUGUAAUCCCUUAUUUGUUCUACAUUUGUUGUUGGAACAAUGCCUCCCCUUAAGUUUUUUUUUUUGGUAGAAGGUAAGAAAUAUAUUAAGAAGAGCCAAAUGUACAAAAAGAUCUCGACACCAGUAACUUGCACUCCAAAUGUAGUAACAAAAGAAGUGGAAGGGUGACGAGAUGCAAAAGCCGCAGAGGCGGCACAACAACUACAACAACAAGGCCAAACUAAGCACGGCUAGCUCAACCGGCUAUCAAACAGAGACAAAAGCAAGGAGGAGGCCAGCGUCAGAUCAAGGACCUACGGGUCUCCAUUGAAAAUAAUCGGGUCUAGGCUCCAACUUCUCUGCAACCUUCUGUUUCUGAAAUUGUCUUCGACGUUCCUGAAUGUGAUAGCCUUGUCUCGGACCACUUUGAAGAGGUGGUUCUUGAUGGCCGGAAUUGAGAGAGGCUGGUCUCUAAAGAUGAUGUCAUUCCUAUUUUUCCAAAUGAUGUGACACAACGCGCCAAAGGAAAAACGGGCUAUGCACUUAUAGAAAUCUUUCCCCAUCAAAUAGGUAGUUGCCCAUCUGAAAUUUUCCCCCCAACCUCCGUUGCGCUAGGGUAAAUUGCAUCUGGACGCCCAAAAGAAAGCAACGCUAGCCGUGACACAGCAGUCAAAAAACAAGUGGUCAAGAGAGUCAGGCACAUUCUUGCAAAACGCACAGGUAGCAUUCCCAAUUAUACCAUAGGCCAGAAGGAGGUCCUGGGUUGGAAGCCUACGCUUGGCCAUAAGCCAAAGAUUGAGUUGAUAUCGAGGCACUAUGGCGUUGUCCCAUACGAAGGAGUACCAGUGGACCUGCGUCCUCUUCUUCCUGAUGAAGUUCCACGCCGAUGCCAUAGUGAAUUGGCCCGAAGAGCUUUCUCGCCAACAGCAACGAUCCGGGUCAUUCGUCAGGCUCGGAAGAGGUUGCCCCCACGAUUGAAGCACCAACCUGAGAGCUUGGCCAGCAUCUGAGAAGAGGUCAGCAACAGAAGCUUGUCUAGAGAGCCCUGAGCUGUAGAUAAGAGAAUCUGAGAAGAACAGGUUCAAGGGCCCUCUAGGGUGCCAGUUGUCAAACCACAGAGAGGUUGUUUGGCCAUCGCCAAUUUUCCAGUAGAAGGCCAUCCUGAAAUUCCUUCUUAGGGUCAACAAGCUCUUCCAAGCCUAGGAUCCAGAUGUUGGCUUCCUAGCAACCCAAAAAUUCUUGUUUUUUAAGAACGUGGAGUGGACCCAUCUACACCAUAGCGCUUCCUUGUCGGAAAACAAGAUCCAAAUAUGCUUUAGCAUGGAAGCUUUAUUGCAAUCUUGGAGCCUCCUAACACCUAGCCCUCCUUCAUCCUUUGGAAGGCAAACUUCAUCCCAGGCUACCUUAGCACCACCCCUGCCUAGGUUCGGACCUUUCCAUAGGAAUUGUCUAAAUAUUUUCUCUAUCUGUUCCAUCACAGCUGUAGGUAAAACAAAGACAUUAGCCCAGUAGGCUUGUAUAGCAUGAAGAACUGACUUGAUAAGCUGAAGCCGACCAGCAAUAGAGUGUAAUCGGUGGGUCCAAGACUGAACCCUUGCAGUGAUGCGAUUGACCAGGGUACAACAGUCUGCUUUAUUGAUCCUUGAAGUGAUAAUGGGAACCCCCAGGUACCGAACUGGCAGGCUUCCUUCUCAAAAGCCCAACUUCAAUAGAAUAUUAUUCCCUAGGGAGAGAUUGCCACCCGCCAAGAAAAUUUCACUCUUGCACGAGUUAGGACAAAGGCCACUCCAAGAGGAAAAUAUAUUUAGAGCUUCCUUAAGGAGAGUCGCCGUAGGAAGGUGCGCCUCACAAAAAAGGAAGACAUCAUCUGCAAAAAAGAGAUGUGAAAGACCCACUGCCUUGCACCUCCAGAAGAACUUGAAAUCAGGCCUCGAGGAGUGCUUAAGAAUGAUCCCUGAGAGCACUUCCAUGACCAUAGUGAAAAGGUAAGGAGAGAUGGGAUCACCUUGGCGAAGACCUCGACCGCUCGCAAAAAACCCGUGGAGCUCUCCAUUCAAAGCAAUUGAGAAUUUAGUAGUGCGAACACAUGUCAUAAUUAGACUAGUGACAGAGUGAGGGAAGCCAAAGGCCAGCAUCACAUUCUCAAGGAAGCCCCAAUCCACGGUAUCAUAGGCUUUCCUGAAGUCCACCUUUAUCGCACAUUUAGGUAGAUAAGGCUCAAGGUGGAAGCUAGAGAAUAGUUCCUGAGCCAGCAAAAUAUUGUCCCUAAUUCGUCUACCUUUUAUAAAAGCAGUCUGAAAAGGGCCUAUCGUGUUAUUCAAAGCUAGGGCCACCCGAUUAGCUAGCACCUUUGUAAUACACUUGUAGAUAGUGUUGCAGCAGGCGAUAGGCCUGUAAUCCUCCACAGAAGUGGCGUUGAGCACUUUCGGAACCAUUACCAAGAUGGUAUUGUUAACCUCCCUCAAGAGUUUUCCGGAGUUGAAGAAAUCCAACACUGCAGUCGUUACUAAAGGACCAACCGUGUCCCAGUUUUCUUUGAAAAACUCCGCUGUGAAGCCAUCCGGCCCAGGAGCCUUUCCCUUAGGCAAAGAGAAGAUAGUGUUCCGGAUCUCCAUCUCUGUAACUGGUUGAGCAAGAAGUGCAGCCUGAUCAACCGAAAGUGGAUGUUGAAUAACCUCCCUCAAGUCCUCUAACGAAGGUCUAAUAAUCUCCCCUUGCGGCAUCAAGAGGUCCUCAAAGAACUCUACAAACCUUCGUUGCACCAGCCGUGGUUCCGUCACUAUGUUCCCCGAAGAGUCGAGGACGGAGAGGACUCUGUUCCUCAACUGUCUUUUGUUGACAUAUUGAUGGAAGAAUUUGGUAUUUCGGUCUCCCUCCCUGAGCCAUCUGACCCUGGACUUUUGCCUGAAGAAGGACUCCUCCGAGGAGCGCAACUCUGCAAAGAUACACCUUUGGCUUUUCUCCACCUCAGCAAGGUUAGCAGAGAAGGGAUUUAGCUGUAAUUCUGCUUGAGUGGCCUCCAUCAUCUUCCGCGCAUCAAGAGUUCUAGCAGAUAUAUUAGAGAAGGAAUCUCUGUUGAGCUGCUUGAGCCGAUAUUUGAGAGCCUUGAGUUUAGAGACAAGCUUAUACAUAGGGACGCCACUCCCCGGCGCAUCCCACACUUGUGAGACAAUUUCAUUGAACUCCGGGUGCUUCAUCCAGAAGUCGAAGAAUUUGAAGGGCUUCCUUCGAUGAGUCGAAUUAAGUACCUUCACCACCAUAGGCGAGUGGUCCGAGAUUCCAGGAGCAAGGAAGGAGGCUUUUGAGUAAGAUAGAUCCGAGCUCCACUUGGCAUUCACUAGAACCCUGUCAAUCUUCCUUGCUUUCCUAGAAUGCCCUGAAGACGUAGUCCAAGUGUAUCUAAAUCCAACGAACCUCAAGUCCUCUAGCUCAGCUUGCUCCAAGCACUGUCCAAACUCAUUAAAACAAGGGAGCCAAUCUUCGGAGCCACCGACCCGGUCCGAUGGAUCCUUAAUAGCAUUGAAGUCCCCCAAGACAAGCCAAGGAGUGUCUCGGAGAUGGGUGCUUUUCAUGAUAAUGUCUUCCCAUAGCGGUCUCCUCAGCGAAAAAGAGUGAUCUCCAUAAAUAAAAGAAACACAGCAAGCCACCCCAGAGUCUAGGCUCUCAAGGUUCCCAUGAAUUGCCUGCUUGGUAAGAGAGAAGGCUUCAAACUUGACUCUCAUGGGGUCCCAUCCGACCCAAAUUCUACCCCUGGGGAAAAAGUCAUAGUUUGCAGUCCAACACCAACCUCUCAAUAGAGCUUCGGAUAUGGAGUUAAAGCGAUCCUGUGGCACCUUAGUUUCCACCAAACCAACACAGCACAAGUGGUUCGAAGUAAUAAAACUACGAAUCUCCGCUUGCCUAGUCGAAUCAACCAUACCUCUAAUAUUCCAGCAACCUAUAUACAUAUGUACAAAAGAGGAAACGAGUAAAGGUUACCUCCUUUUUGGAGGCUUGCGACGGCUCGGAGUGGGAGCCGCACGAGUCGGUGGAGGAGGUGGGUCUGGAGGAAGCACCAGGGGCUUAUCCUGGGUAUUCUCCUCCCUGUUUCUCGUUGGAGGAGCCUUCGGCGAUAGACCUGGAGGGGCCUUCGGCGAUUGACAAGGCGAGAGAAGAUCUUCAUCUGAGCUAAGGUGGUUAACAGACUCAUUUAACUCCGCUCCACUCCCUAGGCCCGCAUCUGGAUGGCUAAUGGGAUCUUCCUCCAUUGUCGAGGUGUGGUCAUCCACCCUGAUUAGUGCUUGAAGCCCACUCUGAGCCCUCCGGGUAGAGGUUGAUGGCAAGCUUUUAAGAGCUGCUGCUGACUGCUUGAGAGGUGGUUCCUCUUCACCAGAGCUUGCCGGAUGGUCCAAACAUGUCUCCUUGGGGGGGGGGGAGAUUUGUUCUUCUUUCCCUUGACUUGUUUCCAUCCAAAAUCAGCUUCAUUCAGAUCUACCACCAGCAUCGGUGAAGUCUCAGAGGGGCGGGCCUCCACUGGUGGGGGGGGAGGGAUGGGCUGAACUUGCUUCUGGCCUUGCACCGCAUUCCGACCAGUCAAAGAGGCUGCACAAUUGUGCCCAAAGGAGCCACACUUCAAGCAUUCCGCUGGCUUCCACUCAUACUCGAUGGCAAUCGACCGAACAACUCCGUUUAGUCUUACCUUGGUCAAGUAGAACCUCGGCUUGUUUACUUGAAGCUCCACGCAAACUCUUGCAAAAGAGAUCCUUUGAGAUUGCUCCGUGCGUUGAUCAACAAAUAACGGCUUGCCAAUGGUGCUCGCGAUGGCGCUAAUUGCCGAGGCUGUCCAUAGGUCAAGAGGUAGGUUCUUCAAGCGAAUCCACACUGGCACCAUGGUUUGCUUCUCCCUCUUCAACUCUAGGAGCGGCUUCCAUUGUUACAAAACAAGUGCAACCCUUGCAACCGUUAUAUGACCUUCUUCCAAAAUCUUCCUUCAGAACUCGGGGUCAGGGAUGCGGAAGAAAAAGAAACCCUGGUCAUCGGCGAAAACCUCAACAAGCUUCGGUCCCCAAGCUAGCUUGAGCGAGUUCUCCGUGAGCUGGAACGACAAACUCUUUCCUACAUAAUACCCAACCAGACACUCAUGCCAUUUGGGAUCCACCGCAUCUAACACUUCUUCAGGAAGAUCCACCAUAGGGAUAUCAUCCUCAAACGAGGGAGGAACAAAGGUAAGGUCAUACCCUUUCGCUGUAAGUUUCGCAACAUUUGCCCACGUCCGGACAGCCAGGGCGUCUGGUUUUCUCACUUGCUUUUGUGAGGCUUGGGGCCGUUUGGAAGCUGACCUCGCUCUACUUCGUCCUCUCGAGCGCCUAUCCCGGCCUACAUCUUUGGGACCACGGUUUGAGGUCUCUGCUAGUGCAGGAGCCUUGCCCGUGAGCAUGGAGACCCGGGCCUCCUUGUCUCGAUUGAGGGGGCUAGAAGUCCUCUCCGAUUCAUCUCUCAAUUGUGCCGUAUUACUCGGCUCACCACCCACAGCCAUUGGAGCAGCCAUAACAUUACCCAGCCAGCUAAACCCAGACCUCUACACAGCAGCCAUCUAGAGAGCGAGAGACUAACCGGUCGGACGCCACACACCUCUUGGGUUGGCCGGAAGCAGCAAGGACGGGGCAGGGUGGAUGGACCAACAGUUCAUUCAAGAGCAAGGCAGCUUACUUGACGCCCUCCUCUCGCUGCUAGUAGGUCCGAGACGCACCAGCACUGCUCCUCAAGGGCCGAGCAACGCAGCAGUUCGGUGCAGGGCGCGGCACAGCAGGGUCGGGACAGGGGAGCACUAGCAAUCGUUCAGGAGCAGAGCCGAGGAAGGCUUACUUGAGGGUGCUGGGAUGCCUGCGAACCUCUGCUAGCAGACCCGAGCCGCACCAGCACCGCACCUCAAGGGGCCGAGCAGCGCAGCAGCAGGCGAUUCUCGUGGAGAGGCAGCUCAGAUCUCGCCGCAGAGAUGAAGAGACUCGAAUCCGUUCGGUGAGGAGCGAGGGCUUUCCCAGAGGAGCUGAACCCCCAAUUUUCACGCCAAUCGGAGGUCUGGAUCGCCCGGAUCGAGCAGAUGAAGCCGGCGAGAUUCAGUUCAAAACCCCAGAGGAAGAGAAGCGAUGAACAGUACCCGUGCGUGCAUUUUGGCUCAUUCUUGUUUUUAAAAGAUGGGUGGACAUGUCAAGGAUUCUCCCCUUAAGUUGCGCACACCUAUUCGCGUAAUUACCGAUGACAAAAGGAAAGGCUUUCUAAGUUGAUAGCUAAGCUGACUAAUCAUCGAUGGGAGAGUGGCAACUUAAUUGAUCACAUUCUUGAAGUCAACGAGAAAAUACAAAAGGUCAUAUGGAAUGGUUGUCCCAUGCCACAGUCUGAGAUGGUGCGAUUUUUCAUGAACACUCUUCCACAUGAAUGGCAAAGAGUGUUGAAUCGCGUAUGGGAAGUCAACAGAGCUGCUUCGUAUAGGAAAAUUGUGAUGGAUUUUAUAGAUGAUUAUUACUGGAUUGUUAUAAGGGAAAAGAUCAAGAAAUUGAACAAAAGAUGAUCUUUCACAGUUCGUAUAUUGACUUGGUGCUAGAUGUUUUUUGCUGGUCUUUAUUUAGUGUGCUUUGUGGACAUCUUAUGUAAUGUUAUCUACCUAGUUAUGGUUGGUGUGGCAACUGAUAUGUUAGUUGUAUUAUAUGAAAGUAUUAUUAUUAUAUCAUUAUUUGAUAUCAAGUACUAUUUGCUUUAUGUUAUUAUUAACUGUUGUGGGUAGUUCAUAGAAAUUUUUGUAAUUUCAAAGAAUUUAUUUUGCAUAGAAUGUUAUAUUAAUAAUAACUCCAAGUUAGGAUUUUGGAUGAUGAUUGGAAACAUAGUGACCUUUUGAUUCUAAAACCUUACUUGAAAUUAUUCAUUAAUAUGAUGGUUUUGUGCAAAAUGGAUGCAUAAAUGAUAGGCAUUAAUAAUUCGUGCAUAUAUGUCUGAUAUGUUCAAAUCAAUGGCUUCAGCCACAAAGAGCAUAGUUGCUGAGCUGAACAAAGGUGAGAAACUUAAUGGCGAUAACUAUGAAAUAUGGCACAUGAAAAUCCAAUAUGUGCUGGAAGAGCAAGAGACACUAGAAGCUCUUAACCUGACCAUGGUAGAACCUGAAGAAGGAAACACUACACGGCACAAGAGAGAUAAGGAAUCAUUUGUUGCAUGGAAAAGAAAGAACUCUCUUGCUCGCAUUACGUUGCUAAGUAGCAUGGAAAAUGACGUCAUGCGAGAGUUUAGGCGUUUUGAAAAUGCCAAGGAAAUGUGGGAAGCUUUGAUAGCAAGAUUUGGUCAUACUUCGGUGACCAGACUGAGGCAGCUCACUAUUAGGUUUGACUCUUAUAAGAAGCCUCAUGGUUAGACCAUGAAGCAACAUCUUAGAAAGAUGUCAAAAAUGAUUAAUGAGCUGAAAGAUGCUGGCCAUGUCCUGACUGAUGAGUAGCAAGUGCAAGCACUGAUUCAUUCCUUGCCUUAGAGUUGGGAGCAUAUGAAGGUGCACCUAACCCAUAAAUGAGAAUAUCAAAACCUUUGAGAAUGCAGUGCGUCAUCUUGAGCUGGAAGAGGACCGCCUCUUGGCGGUUAAAACGGAAGCUGAAAUCUAUCAUGCUGGUUCUAGCUCACAUGGAGCUUCAAGCUCUAAGCGCAAACGUCCUAACUGGUUCGAUAAAGGGAAAGGCAAGGAAGUAGGUCAUUCAGAGAAGAAACCUAAGCUUAACCAACAUGAAAGAGGAAAGAGUCCUCGAAUGAAGAAGCUUACAAGGGUGAAGUGUUACAAUUGUGACAAGAAAGGUCACUAUGCUUGCGACUGUUGUGAGCCAAAGAAGGUAAACACCCAUUGUACUUUUCAUAACUUUGCUUAUGUAUUGAGUUCCGUAUUCUUAACUGAGUCUAAUCCUUUGUGGACUAUGGAUUCAGGAGCGACAGACCAUGUAGCGAAGAAUAGAGAAUCCUUUAUGGAAUUCCGACGAGUACCAACUGGAACUAAGUGGAUCUAUGUGGAAAACAAUUCCAGAGCUGAAGUAAAAGGAAUUGGCACCUGCCAAUUGAACAUGCGUGGUGGAUGCACUUUGUUCCUACAGGAUGUAUUGUAUGCUCCGGAGAUUCAUUGGAAUUUAGUGUUUGUUUUAGUGUUGGUCAAGUUAGGUUUUAAUAUGAACUUCCAUAAUAGAGGUAUGGAUUUGUUUUUGGAUACAAAUUUCUAUGGUUGUGGUUAUUUUUUGAAUGGUUUCAUUGUAUAAGAUAUUGACUAUGUUAAUGCAAAUGUUUGUUAUUCCCUUCUCACAUCUCCUAAUUUAUAUGAUAAUGAUGUGAAUGUGUGGCAUGCUAGACUUGGUCAUAUUAGCUAACAACGUAUGAAUAGACUAGCCAAAGAGGGCUUUUUGGCAAAUAUUGAAAAAGUCGAUUUGCCCAUAUGUGAGCAUUGCCUAGUAGGGAAAACGACAAGGAAACCACUUGGAAAAUGUAAAAGAGCUAAAUUUCCUAUGCAUUUAAUUCAUUCUGACGUCUGUGGUCCAAUGAAUAAAAUGAAGGCAUUGGGCUAUUUAUUUCAUCACAUUUAUAGAUGAUUAUACUCGAUUCGGAUAUGUCUAUUUGAUUUCUCAUAAAUCUGAAGCAUUGAGUUGUUUCAAAAGGUUUAUGAACUUGGUAGAAAAUCAAUUAGAUAAGAAAAUAAAAGUAUUGAGAUCCGAUCGAGGUCGAGAAUAUUUGUCUAAUGAGUUCAUAAAAUUAUGUGAUGAAAAAAGAAUAAAAAGAUAGUUGUCUAUUCCAUAUACUCCUCAACAAAAUGGUGUUGCGAAGAGAAGGAACAGAACCCUAUUGGAAAUAAUUAGGUCAAUGAUGGCACAUGCUAACUUACCUAUCACUUUUUGGAGUGAUGCUUUGUUAACUGAUGCCUAUAUACUUAACCGUGUGCCUUCCAAAUCAGUUACUUUCACUUCAUAUGAGUUAUGGACGGGUAGAAAACCGGACUUAAGUUUUCUUAAGCCAUGGGGAUGUGCUACCUAUACUCAUGAGCUCUCUCACAAGUUUGGGAAAUUGGGUCCCAGAGGAAAGAAGAGUAUUUUCAUAAGAUACUCUGAACACUCGAAAGGAUAUGUGUUUAUAGGUGAGCAGGAAAGUGGGAGUAUAACCGAAUUUAAAUCACGGGAUGUCACAUUCUUAGAUAAUGAAUUUCCUAAGAAGGAUGAAAGAGGUGAAGAUUACUCUCUAUUUGAAACCUUGGAUCAAGAUAAUGAACUUAAUGAAGUUCGUCUAAGUGGGAGUAAUAUGAGAAGUGAUGAAUUGAAUUCAACUCAUUCUCAAUUACAACCACAUGAUGAGACGACAUCAGCAUUAUCUAAUCCUAGUGGGAGCAUAAUGGGAAAUGAUGUGCAAAAUGCACAAUCUACCAUACGGCGAACAAGUCGCAAAAGUAUUUCCUGUCGACGUUUUGACAUUGAAGGGAAAACUUUUAUGAUUGCCCCACAAGAUGAGGAUAAGCCAAGAAAUAUACAUGAGGCUCUAAGUUGCCAUAGUAAAGAAAAAUGGAUUCAUGCAAUGGAAGAGGAGAUUGAGUCAAUGAAGUCAAACCAAGUUUGGGAACUAGUUGAUAUUUCAAAAGGACGCAAAGCUAUUGAGAACAAGUGGGUUCUCAAAAUAAAGCGAAAAUCUGAUGGCUCGAUAGAAAGACAUAAGGCUCGCCUUGUGGCGAAGGGGUAUAACCAACAGGAAUGAAUUGAUUAUGAAGAAACAUUUUCUCCUGUAAUGAGAUUUACCUCGAUUCGCAUUAUUCUGGCAAUAGUGGUUAAAAUGGAUGUAAAGACUACUUUCCUCAAUGGAUAAUUAGAGGAAGAAAUAUAUAUGGAACAACCUGCUGGUUUCAUUAAAGAAGGCCAAAAACAAAAGGUAUGUCGACUUUUGAAAUCGAUAUACGGCCUUUAGCAGUCAUCGAGACAAUGGUACAUACGUUUUCAUAAUGCCAUAAUAGCAUAUGAUUUUACAAUGAUAGAUGAUGAUCAUUGUGUAUAUAUCAAAAGAUCCAAAGAUCAAUUUGUGAUCAUAUCAUUAUAUGUUGAUGAUAUACUAAUUGCCAGAAGCAAUAUGGAGUUUGUAAAUAUUGUGAAGAGUUAGUUAUCUUCCAACUUUGAGAUGAAAGAUAUGGGUAAGGCUGCAUACAUUCUUGGAGUUAAGAUUUCAAGAGAUCGUUCGAAGAAGUCGUUAUCUCUUUUGCAAGAAACAUAUAUAAAUAAGGUUAUUGAAUAAUUUCGUAUGCAAAAUUGUAAACCCAUAGAUACUCCUAUUGCAAAAGGUGAAGGAUUGAGCCAUAGACUGUGUCCAAGGACUCCACAAGAGAAGGAACAAAUGAAACAUGUUCCUUAUGCUAGUGUUGUUGGGAGUUUGAUGUACGCUAUGAUGUGUACAAGACCUGACAUAUGUUUUGUAGUUGGAAUGGUGAGUGAAUACCAAUUUAACCCAGGUCAAGCACAUUGGAAGGCCGUUAAAAGAAUACUGAAGUAUCUAAAGGGAACUGCUAAUUACAAGUUGAAUUAUCAAGGAAAGGAUUUGCGACUUGAAAGCUAUUCAGAUGCUGAUUGGGGAGGAGAUUUAGAUGAAAGGAAAUCUAUCUAUGGAUUUGCUUUCUUACUGAACAAUGGCGCCAUAUCAUGGAGCAGUAAGAAGCAAACAUGUAUAGUUUUGUCCACGAUGGAAGGUGAGUUCGUGGCAUUAUCAGCAACAGUACAAGAAAGAGUUUGGCUUAAGAGAUUUUUGGAUCAUUUAGAUGUUAUUGAGAAAGCUGCAAAUCCAUUAUUGGUUAACUAUGAUAGCCAAGCAACUAUAGCGUACACCAAGUAUUCAAAAUAUCAUGACAAGACCAAACAUAUAGAUACCAAGUAUAACUUUGUCAAAGAUAUGGUUGCACGAAAGGAUGUGAACUUAUAAUACAUAUUUAUGUAUAGAAUGGUAGCAAAUCCUAUGACAAAGCCAAUAACUAGAGAUGUGUUUUGUGGUCAUGUAAAAUCUCUAGGAUUGCGUAGAGUCUGAUGUACUGGAUAUUGUAAUUUCUCUGAGUUGUUCACAUUUAUGAACUUGUGUUUUUUAUUAUUAAUACCUAUGAAUCUUUGUUUGACCUUUAUGCAUCUUAAUGCUCAGUGCAUUACAUUAAGUUGAGAAAGUAUGUCGGACAGAUAUAAGAUUAGCCCACUCACAUGGGUAAUCGCCUCUAUUUACUAUGUGAUAAAUAGAGAUGAGACGGUUUUUAAGCUUAUUAUCUAGGUGAUAAUCGAGAGCUCAAGCUUAAAAUAUAUUUGUUGCCUUAACUGGGUGUUAAGAUGAUGACAUAAUAUUUACUAUGUCCGAAAGUAAAAUAACCUACAUAUUUUACUUUAUUUGUCUAUGAUGCCAGAUGUGAGUUCUGAUAAAUUUUGUAAAUGAGUAGAUACGUGAACUCAAGUUAGAUAUUGGGUAUGUCUAAACUAUCAUAUGUACGGUAUUGAAGGUGUAGACAUACGCUCCAUGGGAAAUGAGUUAAUACCGUAAUACGUAUUUCAUACUACGUAUGCAUGAGACGACCAAUAAGAGUGGCACAAAUUUGAUCUCAACUUUUAUGCCGUGUAAGACUCUUGAGGAAAAUAGUUCAUCAAUUUUAGUGCCCUCAUGACUUUUACUUAUUCUCAAGAUUUCUAUUUAGUGUUUGCUAUCUUAGGAUGUUAUCAAUGGUCAUGAGUUGAUUCGAUCUAAUGGGACAUUUCUAGAAAAGUAAGUUCAACUGAAAUUAAGAGUUUGAAGGAAAGAGGAAGAUCGAAUUUGGAUAAUCACAUUGUAGUUUUGUAUUCACUGGUCGACCAAUUAUGACUGUCUUUGGGAUAAUCAUAAUUGUGAAUACAAUAUAUAUAUAUAUAUAUAUAUAUAUAUAUCAUUGUUUAAAAGAGAUCAAAAGAAAUUUAAAUGUGAUCGAUCGAUCUAGGGUACUGUAUUCUAAAUCUACUCAAAGUGUGAUGCCCAUUAUGAGCUGCUAUAUAUUCCUAAUAGAUGUAUGGCAACGAGCUCUCAAAGUAUGCUAGUCGCACGGAUUAUUCACCGGUAUGAAUGUUGAAGAGAGGUAAAGAGGAUCUUGUUCGGCCCACCAUGUGUGAGUGGGAGAUGAUGAUUUUAUUAAUUAUUGUGAUGGGACUAAGUUGGCCCGUUCGCCCAUAUUGGGCCUAAAAGCUUGGCCCAUAAUAUUAGGGCCCAUGGAUAGAGGGAUACGUUGAAGAGUUGUAACUUUUGGGGGUCGUCUUUUGCCGAAGGGACACGUCCUUUGGAGAUGACGUAUUUAAGGGGGAAAAGAGAGGGAGGAACGCACCUUUUGGAUUUACGUACGUUCCUCCUCCCUUUCUCCCUUAAAACACUCCAAAAAGAACAGUAAGAAAAAGGAGGCGAUACUCUCUUCCCCUCAAGGCAAAUUUACGUCAUCGGAUCGAAUGAGAUCAGUUUUUCUUCCUCAUAUCAGCGUCGGUUUUUAAUCUGUGGCUAACAAGGUAUGUUCGAUUCUGUGAUGUGCCUUAGGAUCGGUGAUACAUGUGAUUUUCCCGGGCCCGUCUUCCGCACUUGUUUUAGGGGUUCAAUUUAGUGUCGAAUCCGAUUUUUGGGAAUCCGAUAUUCUCUACAGGUGAUUCAAUGAUUAGCGUGAUUAUGGACGUAUUUGAGCAAUAGCUAUUUUGGGGAUUGCAAUAAACUAAAAGUUCAUGGAACUUGAUGAAGAGGCAAAGGGUUAAGAAAGACAUAAAAUGAGACGUCACAAAUUGACUUUAUGAAAAUGACGUAUGAAGUCUUUCACAAGUUGCAUUGUCCACUUUAAAAAACCCACACCGGAAAAAUUAUGUUCCCACUACACGCGCAAUAGGUGAAAAAGUUAAGAUGUCGGUCCAAUCCUCUACAUCGACACAAUUGAUCACAUUGUUUAGAUUUUACCAACUGCAUAAAAAUUAUUUUGGGUACUGCACUAAACUAGAAGUUCAUGAAACUUGACGAACAGGCAAAGGGCUAAGAACGACUUACAAAGAAAUAUUAAAACUUGAGUUUAUGAGAAUGAUGAAUGAAGUCUUUCACAAGUUGCGCUGGCUAGGUACUAGAAAGAUGUUGUGUGAAAAUUGACCAUAGUACAGAACUUCAACUGAUGUUCUAUCAUUUUAUGUAGAGUUAUUUAGAGUUAGAGACCACAUUGAAAAAAAAUUCUUAUUAAUUGCCAUUUGUAGAUCACUUAUUUUUACUGAAUUGAUAAGACAAAUUUGUAUACUAUUAUGUAAAAAUCAUGUUAGAUAUCACUUUAAAAAAUAAAGAUGCUAGGCCAAUCCUGUGGAUUGACAUGAUUGGUCGGGGUGUCAGUACAUUUCCAAGUUAGGAACUGAAAGUUAAAAAUUCAAAUUUCACUUACUCCAUGAAACUAUUCUGAGUUAGGGUCACUUGUACAGGUAAAUAAAACGAAUUUAAUCAGUUCAAGGGCUGAUAAAAUGUUCUAAUGGGCCUUCAGUUAGUUAGCCUACUUGCGCUGGAUUAUAAAAAAUUAAAAAGGUGUUGGCCAUGGAAAAAUUAUAUAUAGUUCAUAAUUGUGAUCUUCUUUUAGUUUAUUUUUUAAAAAAGCUUGGCAAUGUAACGGUGCAGUCUUGAAAACCACCCUCACCCCCCCCCCCCGGCUCCAUAUUUUCCCCGCUUUCCUAGGGAAAUCGUGGGAUUUUGAGUGAAAUUUGUUUUUUUUUUAAUUCCGAAUUAAAAUUUGCUCUUCAAAUUUGCUACGUGGAUUUGAAGCUAUCUCAUGUGAAUAUAUUUUAUAUCAAAAUUAAUUUAUUAAAUUAAAAAAAAUUGUUCAUUUCUGUGAUCCACACAAUGUUUGCAAUCUUCUACUAAUCAAGCUAAAUUAUUAAAGAUUUUAUAUCAAGAUUAAGUUUUUAACUUAAAAAAAAAAAUUGUUCAUUUCUCUGAUUCACAAAAAGUCUGCAAUCUUCUACUAAUCAAGCUAAAUUAUUAAUUAAUCAAAUGUUCCAUAGCCUGUUGCUUUUGAAGUGAUACUAAAGGCACAAAAUGCACCAUUAGUUUGAAGCACUUACGGCAUCAUUAGGCUAGCAUUGACCUUCUUAUUAUUUUCUUUUUGCUUUAUCGGUUUCAGUCACUCUUUAUUUUUAUUUUUUUCACAUUGCUACAACUAAAAUGAUAUCUAACAUGAUUUUCACAUAAUAGAAUACAAAUUUGUCUUCCCAGUUCAGUAAAAAUAAGUGAUCUAUAAAUGACAAUUAAAGAUAAAAUCACUUUGAUGUGGUCUAAUUCUAAAUAACUCUAGAUGAAACCAGGUAAAAAACAUGACAAAUUUAAUCAAGAAAAAAGAUCUAGUAAAAUUUCUAUUCACUCCUCAAAUGAGUUUUAUAUUUAAGUAGUUAUUCAAAGUUUGAAAAAAGUUCACUCGCAGCAAUUAGUUCUUACUGAUUUCAUUUCCUUUCUAGAAGAAAGAAAUAGUGUCUAUAAUUGAGAAUUUUCUAUUUGAGAAAUAGUCUCUAAUUAUGAAUUGCAUCUCCAUCGCACUUUGUGGUAAAAAAGACACUGUUAUUCACAAAGAGUAAUGGUAGGGUUAGCGUUAGCAAGGUUAUUUAUUUUUUAAGAUAUGGGUGAGUCAGAUGAAGCCCGUAUGUUAGUAAUUAGAGAGACGCUUUUUUUUAGACCGACGGGUUGGUAGGAACGGUGGAACGGGUAGUGUUGACUUUAGGCCCAUAUCAUUCAUAUCAAAUAACUUGGCAAGUCUUUCCACAAAUCACAUUAGUAAAUAAUGAGUUUUAGAAGUUAAAAUCAAAUGCGGAAACCAGGUCAAUUAUAGACAAAUCUCUAGCCAUUAUUCAUAUUCAUGUUCGUCGGAAAAUCCUGAAAAUUUAGAGAAAUAUUGGACACAUUCUACUAACCCAAUUCCCUCAUAUACUAAUGGUGUAUUCCAAAGUUGAGAGGGUUUGUGUUAGACCUUGUGAUUACCCCAUUAGAAAUGAAUGAUCGUUCCCUUUCUAUACCGUCUCCCAUCAAGACGGUUACCAAAAUGGAUGGUUGUCAUGAAAAGGUACGAAAUGUGGAAACUUUACAUGUGGAAUAACCUUCACUUUAAGAGAAAAUGUGGGAUCACACAAUAUAAAUAAUAAUGAGUCCAUAUUCGCGUCUUGAGCUUUUUCGCAGUGCAGUUUUGCGUCAACAAAAAUGAUAACGUGACCAUAUGUACACUUAUCGCAACACUACCGCGUAGACUAAACAAGCCGUCGCUUUGUGUUAGAAAAGCUACAAAAUCAAAGCUUGCGCAUUAUAAAUAAGACCGAAGCCACUUGUGACCAUCUUAGAAACACACCACACUUUCGUUAGUUUUUCCAAUCACUAAGAUCCUACACUUUAUUUAACCCCCAGUACUCGGCCAUCAUUAUCUUCCAUAUCUUGCUGACCUUAAAAGGACAUAACCAUGUCGUCCCAGAAAUCGAACCCUCUUCCUCGUUCUCAAGGAUACACGGUCGGCACCGGUUUACCUGUUAAUUAUCUUCAGAAACACCACCACCACCAUCAUCAUCAUCUUCCGCAGCAACAGAAAAACUCCGUCACUUGGUCUUCCGAUAUUUUUCAUUGUUGCGACGAUCCAUGCAGCUGUUGCUCUUUUUGUCCACUCAAAGUUGUAUAAUUUUAAGCAUAGUUCAUGGGUGCUGUGAUAUGUAUAAUAUUGUUGUACGUGUUUCAGGUUGCACAACGCUUUUUUGCCCAUGCGUCACUUUUGGGAGGAUCGCGGUGUUCGCGGACGAAGGAUCUUCGUGUAUGUAUUUGUAAACUAGUUUUUUUUUUUUUUUCACAAAUCCAUUAUACAUCAUCCUCAACCUCCACGAACCAUCAACCUUUUCGUAAUUGCAAACCCCAGCCAUGCAUAUCCUGUAUCUCAAUCUUGAAAGUGCUAGUAUGAACACUUAGAGGGGGUGAAUAGGUGUGAAAACAGAUUCUGCAAAAUGCAGUAAAAACCUUUAUUUUUAACCUGAGUUUGAAUAACAACAGACUUUUGAAACUAAGUCUGAAUAGCAGCAGCCUUUGAGCGAGAUCAAACUUUAGCAGUUAAAUAGAGUUACGAACAAAAUAAAUGAGUUCAGGGAAAAGAAUAAGAACACAAGAUUUAUAGUAGUUCGGCUUAAUCCAAGCCUACGUCCACUCUCCCACGCUAAUAGCCUUCUUGGCCAGAUUCCACUAUGCAAUCAACAAGAGAUUACAACUUUGAGUGCAAACACUUAGUAGUAGAUCACACUAUCUCACUAAGUCACUCUUUUGGUAUUUCUCUCACGAUCACAAACGUUUAAGCUGACAAGAGACAAGUGUAUGAAAAAAGAUUGCUUAGACUUUGGAAUUAUAAAUUUUACGCUCCGUCUCUUACUUCCUCAUUGGUCCUUCAUUUCCUUAAAUACUCCUCUACUUUCAAACUAGCCGUUGGACAGUAUCUUGAGGAUCGUCUUCCAAUCUACCCGUUGGACAGAUUUGUAUAUAGAAGAUUUGGUAGCCGUUGAGUGACAAAAGUAGAAUCUCAAAUUGAUACCGAUCGCCCAUACAAACAGAAUCUUGGUUUCCAUAAGUAGAGCUUUUUCGUAUAGAAGGUUCUUGUCUUCAAUAUCCAAUUGUCAAUCAAUUAGAUUGAAUCAAUCAAAUCAAUCUUGAUGUGGAAUCCAAACCAGAUCACUAACCGUUAUAUAAUUAGGCUUGUAUUACGUUCUGUCGAAUCUGGAUGUAAAGUCUGAGUGCAAUAGACUUUACAAUUUGAGUCUGAGUGCAAUAGACUUUACAAUCUGGACGUCAGUCUGAACAUAUUUUGCUUCUAAAUAGAUUUAGCUUUAAGAUCUGGAUACAGUCUGAAUAAGUUCAGCUUCAGCAUAGAAUCUAUCUUCUGGUUCAGUUUUAGCAUAUAGUCUGUCUUCUAGUUCUUCAUUCACAUUUAGUCUGGAAUUUGUCAAAGUUGAUAGAUUUCUAAUAUAGAAUAGAAUUUGACAUUAACGUCUGGCAGUCUUUAGACUUUGACACAGAAGUCUAGAAAUCUUCAGAAUAUACUUUAGACGUGUGUUACGUUCAGUCUUCUGGCCGUCUUUAGUCUUUAACAAUACUCUUUAUAUGUUCUAUCAUCUGCAUGAUCUAUUAUUUAACCAUUAAACACGUUAGUAGCCUUUGAUUUACCUAAUAAAUCUGAGGCAAGACGACAUAUGCAACCAUCUUAGACCUCUGCGUAAAGCAGAGAGAGAGAGAGAGAGAGAGAGAGAGAGAGAGAGAGAGAGAGGAGAAGGAGCUGCUCAGGCGGCAAUGUAAUGAGCUGUGGAGAGCAGAGAGACAGAUGGUUAGGCUUUGAUAAGUGGCGUGUGCAAUCUUUUGAGUUAAAUGUACAAGUCUGUGUUUGAAAAAUUGUGAAUGUGUGCCACAUUUCCGAACAGCAAUAGCCAUUUUGUACUUGAAAUAAUGUUUUAAAAGAUUGAAAUAUCCAACAUCAUUUGCUAUGGAGUUAUAUGCUCUCUCUCUCUCCAUAUAUAUAUAUAUAUAUAUAUGAUCUUCUUUUAUUUAUUGGUUUAAACUUUUGAUUUGAUGUUUUAAUUUAAUAUCAAAGCCAGGUUCCUGUAAAGUUUAUUUUGCGUCCCUGCCUCAAAUUGCACAUGUAUAUCUCACUUCAGAAUUUUUAGGGCCGCCACAGUAAUUUACCUCAAAUGAUAAAAAUCAACAAUGAUGAUACUAUUAUAUUCGUUUUGUUGCAGCCUGUGUUUCGAAAGGCGCACUCUACUGUUUAGCCAAUACUUUGACGGGUUGUUUUUUGGGAGGAGCUUGCUGCUGCGGUUGCUGCAAUCGUAGAAGGUUGAAGACUCAAUUCAGAUGGCAACAGAACGCAUGCGACGAUUGUUAUGUUCAUUGCUGUUGCCAUUGUUGUGCUCUGUGUCAAGAAUAUCGUCACCUCCAAAGGAAGAAUAAGGUGGGGAGUUUAAUUCUCCACCUUCUUACGAGCUGGGGGAUGCACAAGUGAGGAAGUAGGGUUUUGCACAUAAAGUAGCUUGUAAAAUAUAUAUGGGAUUGGAUCAGACAAAAAAAAUAAGAAGCUUGUUUUUUUUCCCCUAUCUAACAUUGAGGUUCUUUAGAAAAGCUAAAACUAUUUCAACUGUGCGUGUGUAUAUAUAGCGAGUUCAUAACCCAUUCCCAACUUCAUAAAAAUUCAAUUUUUUUUUUCUCACAAAAGAGAAUUUUUGCGAAUUAAUCUUCGGGAACUAAAGGAAUUUUCUCAAAACAGAGUUGAUGAUGUGUCAUUAAUCGACUCAUUGAGUGAUCAAUCAACACUAUUUGACGGACAAAAUUAAGGGAAAAUCUGAAAAUAAGUAGUAAGCUUAGGUCUUUUAUGGUAAAAUUAUUAUUUGAUGGGUAUCUUGCAAAUAAUUACGCGCCCACUUGUAAAAUCUAAAAACAAGUGGUAAUCUACUACUGGAUUGGUGGAUGUUUAGAUUGGUAAAUGAUCGGUCACUUACAAAUAAUUACGUGGUUAUUUGUAAAAUCUAAAAAUAAGUGCUAGUCUGCUAUUGAAUUUGUUGAUGGUAAAAUAGUUAUUUCUUUCAUAAGUUACAAAUACUGACCAAGCUUAUAACUAAGGGUCAUGUUUUACGACUUACCAUCAAUAUUUGAAACGUGUUAUUGACUUAACAUGUUUACAGACACAAAACAAAAUUCCCUUUUAGGCAUAUUGAGUUGAGAAUAAGGAUUUCCCGACAUUUUACAAGAGAUAUUAUAUAAUUAAUCGUCGCCUUAAAUUAAAGAUUCAUGUCAAAUGGUUCCGAUUACCUUUCGCGAACAAUGACUGUUGCACAUCCUUGGACGAUUUUAUGGUCACCCUCUCUCUCAUCUUUCUGGUGCGUAAGAUUUUCUUCCAAGAGUGCUACUAACAAGGCCCUAAUCUAACAUCACAAGAAGAGCAAACCUUUUCACCAUCUGACCCAACAUCUUAUUGGUUCAUUCCUUUUUUAUUUACUUACAAAGUCUUACAUUUUUAUUGGCAUUUAACUCAAGAAAAGAUAAGUAACUAGGGUAUGUCAAUCAUUCACGUUCUAUUUCCAUUGACGUGUGGACCUCUGGAGUGCCAUAACUUGGCACAAAGGGACACUUAAGUAUCAUAACUUACGAAAGUGACAUUUAAGUGCCAAAAUUGGAGCAAAAUGAAUCACUUAAGUACAAAUUCGGCCAAAAUGCAGCCAAAAUGUUGAUGUGGCGAUUUUCCGGCGAAGCAAGUGCAAAACAGCGUCGUUUUGGUGUCGACGUGGUAAAAAAAUAAUAUAAAAAUUAAUUAAAUUAAAUUAAAAAUAAAAUUAUUUUAAAUAUUUUAAAAUAAAAAUUUUAAAUAUUAAAAAAAUUAAAAAAAAAAAAAAUUAAAAAAAAAAAAAGAAAAAAGAAAAUGGGGGAGGCAGCCCUCAGCUGCCGGCGAUGGAGGGAGGGUUGGCUAGGCCUUAGCCAGGGGUCGGUCACCUCGGCCGACUGGCUACGAGGGCCCGCGAGCCCUCGGUAGCCCUCUCCCCGAUUUGGGGCGAGGGCUCGGCAACCCCAGCCGACCUUACCCCCUCCGUCGUCGGCCCUUCUCGGCGGCGGCGGUAGUUGAGGGCUCAGCCCUCAGCCGCCUCCCCCCCCCCCCCCCCUUUAAUUUUAAAUAUUAAAUAUUUUAAUUUGUAAUUAAUUUAAAAUUUAAUUUAAUUAAUUUAAUAUUUAUUUUUUAUCACGUCAGCACCAAAACGAUGCCGUUUUUGCAUUAUUUGGCCACAUCAACGUGCAAAACGGCAUCGUUUUACACUUACGUCGUUGGAAAUUGCGCACGUCAGCAUUUUGACCGGAGUGGCAUUUAAGUAAUUCAUUUUUAUUCGAAUGUGGCACUUAAGUGUCACUUUAAUAAGUUAUGGUACUUAAGUAUCCAUUUGUGCCAAGUUAUGACACUUGAAACGAUCUUUUGCUAUUUUCAUUACAUGUAUGGUCUAUUGAUCCAAGCGAAUUGUUUGGGAAUUAUCUAAAACGAGUUUUACUUUUUAUUUAAUCUAAAUCUAGCGAUUCACAAAAUUUGACCUAUUUUUCUUUUAAUUUGGAACUUUAAAACUUUUAUGAUAUUUAAAUGUUGACACGUAACUUCAAAUGCAAAUUUAUCAUAACUUUUAGAAUAUAAUAAAUUUUAGCAAAAAAAGUACAAAGAAAAUACUCUUUGCUCCUCAAAAGAAAAUACUUUUAUCUAAGAGUAAACAAUUUACGUAUAUUGCUCCUAAAAAGCAAAAGACGCAUUGGCAAAAUACGGGUAAAUUGUUCUUUUGCAUGAUGCACUGAUUGAAGUCCUAUGUAUUACCAUGAUUGGCUGAAAAUGUUGAAAUUGCGGAAGACUAACGAGGAUACAUACACCUACGAGUUUGAUGAAAUUUUCGCCGAGUCCACGUCGCAAAAACAAGUGUACGAGGUUGCGGCAAAGCCUGUUGUGGAGGUGCGUACGUAUGAAAGAUUUUGAUUGUUGUCUUAUAUUUCACCGUCAUACGAGCUUGCUUUUGGUAAAUAUAAGCAAGUGGAGAAACUCUUGGCAUUUUACGCACUUAAUAUGCUUCAUUUUCUGACAUUUUUAGCAUCAUUAUUGGUAAGGAUCCUGGUUAGACUGUACCCUUUAAGAGUAACAUUCGUGUUUACUACUUCAUUUAAGGACUAGGUCCCGUGACCUGUCCUAGCUGACAUGAUUUUGUUUCCUAUACAUUAGUUUGGAUAUAAUUUAAUUUAGAAUACUAUGAAAAAGCCCAAAUUGAUACAGUUAUAAUACAUUUACCUCAAAUUAAUUUUUUGACCAUAGAAAACUCUAAACUAAUAUAUCUAUGACAAAUUUAUCAUCCUUUAGUUUUAGUUAAAUUUUAUUGUCAAAUUUCUGAGUCGGAUAACACGUGAUAGUUGAUAGGUAUAACAGUUUGAGUUUUUAUGCUUAGUUUGUCACAUGGGUAGUAGUUUUGUAGUUUUUUGUGAUAUUAAUUCAAUUUAACGAAAACUAAUAAAAAUUGUAUUUGUCACAAAUAUAUCAGUUUGAGAUUUUUUGUGGCCAAAAAAAUUAGUUUGAGGCAAACUUGUCACUUGUAUACUAAUUUGGAAUUUUUUAGAGUUAAAAGUUAAUUUUGGAUAAAUUUAUUGCAUACUAAUUUGAUAAUUUUCAUGGUAUUAACCCUUAAUUUUAUGGCACUUUACUUCACCCUGAAAUUUUCUACCAUUUUAUAAUAUUUUUAUAGUUUUUAGGAAAUGUACCUUCACCCAACACCAACUAGACAUGAAAGCUUGAUAAAGAGUGAAUUAUUGUUUUGUUUUUUUUUUUUUUUGGUGACCCAGGGAACCCCGCACGGCCGGUAGUCGGAGGUAAACCACUGGGGGUGACACGUGCUAGCCACCACACACGUGCCACCGGGUAAGUCACCGAGAGACUCAAAGCUAGCCUUCCUGCAAGCUUCGAACACUAGACCUCUCGAUAGAAGUCUAGUGCCUACCCAGCUGAGCCACUGCGGCGGGUGGUAGAGUGAAUUAUUGUUGUUAGCCGUAGGGAUGAGCAAAAAGAAAUCCUCCAAAUCAGAACUGCCCGGACCGAUCUUCGGUUCCUAAAAACUUGAAUAAGUGAAUACCGGUACGAUUUCUCAUUUCAGAUGCGGAACCACCCUUUUUUUUUAUUUUUUUUUAUUUUAUAAAUGAAACCUGAAAGCAGGCUCCAGACUCACGCACGCUCUCUCUCUCUCUCUCUCUCUCAACUCGCUCGACUCACAAACUCUCUCUCUUUGUUUCCUCUGGUUUAGUUUUGUCACGGUGCGUCUUGAUGUGUUUUGCAUGGUUGCUAUCUCUUAAUUGUUUUCUUGUGUCCAUUUUCGAGUCUUGGAUACGCGAGGAAGAAGAGAUGGUCGAUGGGUAAUUGGCUUUUCAGUCUUGGAUUCGCAAUCCACCUGAGCUCGGGACUUGAAGUGAUUUUUACACGAUUUUACCUGUGGAAAUGUUGGUGCUCAGCUGGAGAAUGAUCAGCUGGUGUUUUUUCUGCCUUUCUGUAUUCUAAUGUUGUUUGUUCAAGGGAGGAUAAGUGAAAAUUCUUUUAUCAAAGUGGCGAAAGUCAUUUUGGUGAAGUGCUGUUUCGGGUUACUGGUAGUUGUGAUCUUUUAUGAAGCUUUCUUUGGAUUUUUGCUGCAAGUGCGUAUGUUUGUUUGAUGAUCAGGGAAGUCACGUGUCCAUGGAUUCUGAAUUGUUGUAGGAUAGGUAGGUAACUAACAUCAUGGGAUUGAAAUGGUUUUCGGUAUAUUGUAAGGUUGUAAACGGUUUGGUUUGGUUCAGUUUUUUUUUUUUUAAAAACCGAACCGAACCAAACCGUUAGAGAAAUUUUCCGAACUGAACGACUUUCGGUUCGGUUCGGUUCGGUUCGGUUCAGUUUUUCGGUUUUCAACUUUUGGAUUUCGGUUUUUUUUUUUUUUUUUUUUCUGGGGACGGCUUACCUUCUGUAUAAGCUCAUUGAUUGACGUUCAUCUAUGUCUUUGAGCUAGAUCUCUUCCUUCUUCCCUUGUUACAGCCCUUUCACUCUCCUGGAAUUAUCACAUCAUGAGAAGCGAGAUGACUUCUCUUCGAAGAGAAGUCAAGCAAGAAGAAACCAGGGAGGAUAAGAAGCGACAACGAGGACGGGAGCUCGGAACGUUGUGUGAGAAUUAUUUGGAAGGAGGAUGGCGUCCCGAGACGUGGUUUCUUUUGUGGGCUUGGAAAUGGCUCGAGUUUUGCAUUGCUUCCAAUUUAGUUGGGUUUCAAAAGGAAGUGAAAGCUUCACUUUUGACUUUCUGGGUUUCAUGGGCAACUGGUCUGGAUCAAAAAUUGCCCUGCUUUUUGCUUUUCCAAUCUUAAUUUGUUCCCAGAAGGAAUAUUUGGUCCUACUUGCAGUGUAGCGAUUUUAAGUGUUUUUUUGACACUAGUGAUUCGUAAAUACAACCAUAAGCAUAUGAAAUCGUGAUAAGGUAUUGCUAACAACUUAUCUUCUCAUCUGAAUGUUCUACUAUAGUCUUUAUGCCUCACAUCACAUUUCACUUAGCAAGUAUACCCAUUUAGUCCAGGAAAUUGUCCUUCUCGAAGGACAAGAGAAUCAAGACCUGCUGAGACUUCAAAAAGAUGCUGUGAAGCAUCCCCAUUGUACAACAAAAACCGGUGUUGACAAAGCUCUGAAACAGGGAUUCUGUUCACUAGAGAAGAAGAGAAAAAAGAAGAAGAAAGAAUCCCGGAUUAACAAGAACUCAAAGGAAACUAGUGCUUUUCAUCCAUAAAACGGGAUAAGUACACUAAUGGUGUCAUAAGUUGUGUACGGCGCUCACUUUGGUGCCAAAAGUUUCCGUCGGAUCACUUAAGUGCCAAAUCGGAGGAAAAACGCUCACUUUGGUGCCACCGGCGAAAGAUUCCGGCCAAAAUGAUUUUUUUUUUUUAAAAAAAAUCGAUAAGCCUUUAAAUGACGUCGUUUUCGGUCCUCCUUAAGAAAACGACAUCGUUUUGCCGUCCUACGUGGAUGGCUUCAUGGAAACGACGCCGUUUAGCUCAUAUGGGGAAAAUUAGGGUUUCCGCCGCUCGGCCACCGUUGUUCGCCCGCCGUCGCUCGGCCACCGUCGCUGCUCGGCCACCGUCGCUCAGCCACCAUUGUAGUUGCUCGACCAGGUGAGCGAGGAGAGACUGAGAUUGUUGCAGGAAAAAUCGAAGGCGAGGGCGGAGGAGGAGGAGGAAGAAGAUGGGUCAAAGGGGCUGCUGCCAGUGCGUUGCUGGUGUGCUGCCGGUGUUGUUGCUGGUGCCGUGCCAGUGCCGUUGCUGGUGUGGGUCUUCGAGGAAGAAGAAGACACAAAGACGAGCUUCCCUCUCUCUCAAUUUGGGGAUUAGGGUUUCAAAGUUGGGGGAAAGAUGCCAAACGGCGUCGUUUUGGUGUUUGGAUGCUGACUCAACUCUCCAACGAGCCAUGUCGGCGUCAAAAAUUAAUAAAAAAAAGGCCACGUCGGAUUUCCGGCCAAUUUCGUCGGAGUUGGCACCAAAGUGAGCAUUUUUCAAAUUUUUUGGCACUUAAGUGAUCCGACGGAAACUUUUGGCACCAAAGUGAGCGCCGUACACAACUUAUGGCACCGUUAGUGUACUUAUCCCUCCAUAAAACUAGUAUCAUAGGGCAAUUAAUUAUUGCAAGAAUCCAAAUUAUAGUCAUGGCAAGGAGCAAAAGUAAAUCACAUUAGACAUCCAUUCAGUCACUUCUUUAACCCCACGAUGCUGAGACAAAGUGACAACAUAUAUCUCCAUUAUGUUGCAGGUGCUAAGGACAGCUGCUUCUUCUAUAUGAUUCAAACUACAGAGUUCUCCAAUGGCUCAAGGUCAUUUUGCCUUAGGAAUGGCAAGUUUCUCACGCAUCUCCACAGGAGUUGUGUGCAUGCUAAGCCCAAUAACCACAAUGCUGCUCCUUUCUUUUGUAUAUACCCUGACCAAAACAAUUGAAAUAAAAUUAGUGAUCUCAACUUAGGAAUCUGAUGUCACAAUAUAUACUUUCGCUUCUGUGUUUUCUAUUUGCAUCAUUGCUUGACAAGGAAGAAAGUCACUCUUUAUGAACAUGCAUGACUGUUUUAAGCUCAACAUAUCUAAGAAGAGAGGGGAAUAAAACCAAAGGUAGAAAAUGAAGAAAGUCACUCUCUAUGAAUCAUUACGGUUUUAACCCAAUUUGGACAUCGAAACAUCUUCAGUUAGCAAUCCUACACUACCACCUAACUCUAAACCUCUUGCUUGGCCUUGUAUACAUUUCUAUCUAAAACCAAAGGUAGAAAAUGGUCCAGACAUACACUCUCUCCCUUACGCUACUUCGAGCUUAAAGAUGACAUUCAAUCAUCAAGAGAAAUUGCUAUUGAAUUCAGGUCCAUGGUCGUAGAUGACAACUCUGCAUUAGAUUCAUAAUGAAAAUGAGAAUUGAAAUAUCAAUUGUAAUAUUGAAAGAUAUAAAUAUUCCAUGGUUAUUUUUUCUCACCUGACUCGAAAUUUUCAAGUUCUUCUAAAUUCUCCUCGAUCUACUGUGAAAGUGGUGCGGAUCGUAGCCAAUCUUGAGUACAUAUAAGAGCCUCUACCAUCAUUGGGGUCAAUGAGCUACGAAAUACAUCAAGUACUCGACCUCCGGUGCUGAAUGUAGACUCUGAUGCUAUAGUGGAGAUGGGCACGGCCAAAAUAUCUCGAGCAAUGGAAGAUAAAAUAGGAUAUUUGGAAGAAUUGACUUUUCAUCAAUUUAAUAUAUCAAAGGUAGAGUUAUACUGUUCACAUCCUUCUUCCAAAUACUUAUCCAAUUCAGAUUUUUCUUCCACAUAUUCUUGUCUCGUUUGGCUAAGAUACAUCUCAGUCAUAAUGUCCGCACCAACCACAGGAGACAUUGAAACGUUCACUGUCCUUGUCCCCUUUAAUCUCAUGCUGCUUUGGGGGUAUGUGCCGGUACGAUAUUGCUCAAACAAUAAUGUCAGAGAUUUUGUCACUCUAUCUCGCAAAGUUUCUGCCCGAUUGCCUUCAUACACUUGAUUAAUCAUUCAUUUCACAUACUCCAUCUUAUGUCGAGGGUCAAGUAUACAUGCAAUGAACCAUGUGAGAUUGAUGUUGUUCACAUUGCCAAAAUACUUAUUGAACUUGAUGUUCAUUCUCUUGGCUGUUUCUGGCAAACUCCUAUCCUCAUCUCCAUAAUAUUUAUCAAUCAUCAUAUAAAUCCCAUAGACAUCUUUUGCCAUAUCAUUGCAAGUGAUGUAAGAAGAGCCGAUACUUUUAAAGUCGCAUCAUAGAACAACUUCAAGAAAGGAAGAAAUCGACGGGCAUAAUCCCAAUCAUCAUCAGUAGGCAACCCUCUCACAUUUGAAAGCUCUUCAGCAAAUCUUCUAUCCUGAAUAUCUAAUGAGAUAAAAGCAUUUUGAAAAUUUAAGGCCACUUCCAACAUCAGGUAUGUUGAAUUCCACCGAGUCUCCACAUCCAAACAUAUAAGAUUAUUUGAAUCAAUAUUUUCCAGUAGAAUGCACUCCUUAAACUGUUGCAAUCUCGAAGGAGAAGAUCUCACAUAACGUACAGCUGAGCAUAUUCUAACAAUGGAAUCGUCUAUAUCUUUCAAACCUUCUCUCAUAAUCAAACUGAAAGUAUGAGCAUAACAUCUCACAUGGAGUAACUCACUUGAUAAUAUCAGAGCAUUCCAGGAGUUAAGUCUUUUCUUCAAGUAUUGAACUCCCAAGUCAUUGGAGCUAGCAUUAUCAACAGUGAUAGAAAAAAUGCCUUUGAUCCCCCAACUAGUUAAGCAUUUCUCAACUCAUUUCCCUAUAGUCUCAGCCGAAUGUCCUAGGAUUUGACAAAAAUUCAAAAUUUUCUUUUGCAACUUCCAAUCAGCUUCUACAAAGUGAGCAGUAAGACCCAUGUAACUUAGAUUUUGACAUGAAGUCCACGUGUCAGUCGUAAGACAAACCCUUGGAGAAGUAUCGGAAAAAUAUUUUUUCAAUUUGCUUUUUUCCUCCAGGUAUAACUUAUAAUAGUCCUCCCUUAAUGUGUUUCUUGAAGGGAUUAAAAACUUUGGCUAGAUUCUAUUCAUGAAUUUCCGAAAUGCCUCAAGUUCCACAAACUUGAAAGGUAGUUCACCAAUAAUAAACAUUGCUGCUAGAUCUUUUCGACUAGCAUCUUGAUCAAAUUUCCAAGGACCAGCUGAAAUAGAACUACCAACCCCAAUAGAUUCAUUCGAGGCACUUCUUUGCCUUUUCUCCACAUUCACAUAUGGAUAAUUCUUACAUCUACCUAAAUGAUUAUGCAUCCCACUAGUCCCUUGAGUAGUAGAACAACCAAUAAUAGCCCCACAAUAUAGACAUUCGGCUUUAUCUUGGCUAUUUUCUAUCCUUUUUAAAGUGUUCCCAUACAACAGAUCUCAGCUUCUUUCUAUUUGUCCCGCUAGAUUAACUUAUUAAAGAUUUGAUCAUUGUAUAUUUGGCUUUGCAAAUGUUAUUGCCUUGACAGGGAGAUCUACAAAUAAAUAUAAGACAUUGAGCAACCAUGUUCGAGAAGUAACAUACCAAAACAAAUAAGAAAUACAUAAAAAAGGUAGGACAAAUAACCUUAUAAAAGCAUAAGAGAUUGAAAAAACUCAGAUUUCUCCACUUUUAUUUGCAUACCACUAAAGCAUCAUUCUAGGCCCACAACAAGAAGAAAGAAUCAAAUACAAUAAAGAGUAAACUUGAUCUUACUUGCAAGAGUCAAUUCAUGGACAGCAUUGGGUGUUUCCUCAAAUAGCGGAGGAAGACUUUUGAACUCUGUCAGCAAAACCUGUACAGUGAAUAUUUCUCUUCUUAUUGCGUACAUACAAUGACAGAUACAUGUAUAAAAAAGACAUCACAGUUUAAAGUAGGGGCCUCAGUCAAUACUCUUCUCUACACAGUAAAUAUGGCAAGCAAACUCUCCAUACAGUAACAUUGUACAAAGCUACAUUGAAUUGAUUAUCUAGCCCUCCUCUUUGUUUAAAUAGUGGAUGUAUUGAUAUGUAAUGACACCGAUAGGUAAAGGUGAUCCUGACCAUUCAGAAUGUGGCAAUUUAUAUUACACCUAAGCUACUAUGCUUGCAAGAAGAAGACACCCAUGACAGUAAAUCUCCUCAUAUUCUCUAAAUUACUUGGACACUCCCUCAUGGUACUUCACCACUGAGAAAACAAAGCAAUAUGUGAAGCAAAUUUAGUUUUUUGGAACAGUAUUGCUUGACAUAUUCAAGCAAGCAGUAGAAACCAACAUACCCGUUCCAGCACCAAGCUCCAAUGCAACAACUCUGUCAAACUCAGAAGAAGUGGACAUGGUAUGCAACACGAAAUCAGAUAAUGCUAGUUCAGCUUUCCAAACCUGAACAAAUGGGGGGAAAAAAAGUCAUCUAAUGUCAAGCAGUUCACAGCAUAUCGAAAGAGAAGAUCAUGAAUGUAACUAAUACCUGCAACCCGACAUUCGGGAUAGAAGAAGUGAUGUUAUGCUGUAUGAUCACACUAAAACAAUGCGAAGAUGGUUCUGCACGUCGGAAAAUGUCCAGUCAUCAUCGCCAUUUUGUAGGAAAAAGAGGAUGCAAAAGCAAACCAUGUGAGCAUUGUGUGGUUAAGCAAUGGGCAACCCGAGACCAGAAUCGAUUUCGUAACUCUCAAUCGAAUGAAUUCUCACGACAGACUAGUCAGGAUUGCUGGCGAAUUCAAAGCUAAUUGAAAUGCAUGUACAGUUUAGAAAUGGGUGUAGAAGGAGAUAAGAAAAGAUACUCACGGUCUCGCCUUGUUAAAACGAGGUCACCAUCCUGGUCGAGCACAAUUCCUCGGCGCUCUACAAAAAUCCCCAAGCAAUUAAACUAUGGUUCUCACCUACCUAUUGAACAAGCUCACCAAAACAGAAUGGCUCAAAAAUAGCAAGUGCAGCUCUCUCUAUUCUCAGCUUAGAGAUCAGAGUAAUUUAGACAAACUUUAUCAGCAUUAGGAAAGCCUACCUUCGUGUUGGACAGCUCAGGUUUGUGGGUCGACUCAAGUCAAAGAAACAAAACGUCAGAAGUGAUUCCAGAUCUAGUAACCGAAACCAGAACCCAUGAAGUUGUUCAAGUGCAUAAACAGGAAGGAUUCCUGCAGAGCACCAGAGGAAAAUAAAUUCACGCUUGAAAUGGAUUAUAGCCCACGGGAAAAAAAAGAAUUAUAAUUGCAAGCCUUUUAAUCUGAAGUAACAGAAGUUAGAACCAAGUUAUUGUUUAUGUAGAAGUGAUUCUAGGAGCCAAUUUUCCAAUCCAACCCCAGCUUAAACAAAAGAAAAAUCAAAUCUUGAUGAAUAAAGUGCAUUAGUUUACCACGAACAACCAAUGCUAAAGAACGAAUUACGAAGCAAUAGCUUUGUCUGAGGAACAAAACUCAUCCCUACCAACUACAGGCAGAAUCAUUAAUUUGCAUCUAGGCAAAAGUUCAACCGCAAUAAACCGGUACUCUUUAUUCGUAUCUACUCUGAUAAAUGAAAUAACCGACUAGUGACAUUGAUCUGUGAUCUCUACUCUUAAUGACACCAAAAAGGGGAUCAAGAAACAUGGGUUUUGCCUUUACUGACGCCCAUAACUCGCAGACAACCAAAAACAAUGAAAAAAUAAAAAGAAACGUCGGCAAUGAAAGACGAACAAUGUUUGAAGACAAACCUGAAAUCGAGCGAUGCCAUCAGCAGCAAUGACGUAGUAGAGCGGCAUCGUGAGGACAAAAGGGUCAGUCUCCGAAUCGCUGUUGCUCAACCCAGCACAGCACACAGCUCCACAAGUCGCUGCUGCCGACGAAGAAGAAGAAGAAGAGAAAAGGGCGUGGCGGAACAAUCGGUCCCUCAAUUGGUCGCCGUCCUUGUCGCCGUUGCCGUUGCCGCUGUCCUUGCCACCAUCGCCGUCCUUGUCGCCGUUGCAGUCACAGUCGCUGUCGUCGUCGCCGUCGCACCUUCAAGAAGAGAGGAGACGGGAGAGAAUAAGAAAUAGGGUUGGCCUUUGCCGGUUUGGUUCAUGGUUCUACUUUUUGGUUUAUUGGUUUGGUUCGGUUCGGUUAACCGAUAAAAACCGAACCAAACCGAAAAAUUUCGGUUUUAAUAAAAAUCAAACCGAAAAAAUCGAAUUUUUCGAUUCGGUUCGGUUACUGACACCCCUAGUAUAUUAUUGUAGCAUAACCAAGCUGCAAUGAAACAAAAAAAGAACGAAGCUGAAAAGAAAAGAAGAAGUGGUUGGUUCCCGAUGGAACCUGAAACUGGCAGGUUCAGUUUCAGAGUCGGUUCUAGGGUUCAUAGGGUCGGUUCCCAGUUCCAAAAAAGUGGGAACGGGUCCCGACAGGGUAGGUCCAGGUUCCAGACUUGGAACCGAUCGUCCUAGCCAUUUGUUGUUAAAAUUGAGAAUGAACCUGAGUUUGAUCAGGAGGUGAACUCAGUGAGCGGAAGCCAGGUUUAGAUUUUGAGUGUUAUUUAUUGCUCUGAAAUAUAAUACGAGUAAAAUGUGUGUGCAACUUGUUAUGCCAGCAGUGUUUAUUACAUGAGUUCGCCUUUGCUUUCUCAACUUGCUCUAUUAACAUAGUUAAGCAUUUCAUCUUGGGCCAUUGAUUUUAAUUUUAUGAUUUGAUCUUUCUACUUCACAGGAUGGUGCAGCAAAAAAGAAAGAGAAGAGAAAGGAGAAGAAAAUGCGGAAGAGGAGGAAGGGAAAACAGGCGGAGCUGAGCAAAAUGUCAACAAAAUCUCAAAUAAUCUCUUAGAAGUGGCUAAAUUAUACGGAAAUAUUAUGAAGGAUUUUUUCGGUGUUGAUAUAGAUAUCCAAUUAACAUCACCUUUGGCCACCAACAACUCUGACAAAGGAUUUACAUCAUUGUUUGCCUAUUUACUUUGACACCAUUUCUGUUUGAGUGCUUGUAACACAUUCUUCUCAAUGUCACUUUGCUUAACAUAAGUUGAGGAAAAUUACUCUAUAAUAUUUUCAUCCAAUUUGGCCAUGUGAAGCAUUUUGGGAUUUUGUUGAGCAUAUUGCUCUUCCUAGGGACAUUUUUCUCAGCUUUGGCCUCUUUUUUCUUUCUCCUCCUCCUUUUCUUCUCCUUUGCCUUUCUCUACACGGUCAGGCAGUUUGUCUCUCAGCUUUUGCAUUGGUGGGGUAGAAUUCGCUGAAACGUAAUCUCAACUCGGUUGUGGGACAACAUUUCAGGCCCAUAGAUGAGCCUGAGGAGGAGGAGCCUGAAGAUGACGAUCAGCCAGGAAAAGAUGAAGAGCUCGAAGGAAAUGAUUAAGAACAAACGGAUCCAUACAUGAUUGUAAAACAUCGAGAUCAAUAAAUACAGCGGAAUUAAAGCAUACUUGUUUGAGCCAUUGCUUCACUUGCAGAAAAGUAGAUCACUCUGAUAAUCAAGGAUCUAUCGGAAUACCAUAUCUUCCUCUUUAUGACCUAUUUCGAUAUAGCAGCUUUUAAUGGGAUUAAAGCAACUAAUAGGUAUAAUCUACCCUUUUAUAGGCUAGAGAGGAGACCUAGCAAACCCUAAUCAAUAGCGUGUCAACUGGGCCCUUCCCAUUACGAGCUUCAGUCAAACACAAUUGCCUAUACUUUGCUGCUCAACUAGGCCCGUUAACAAUAGAUGCCAAUACCCAAUUCAAUCAGAUCACUUUAGGGUAUAACAAAUAUUGGAAAAUGAUCUUAGUGAAGAUGAGUCAAAAGAGGAUCGGGAUGAUCCCAUCUCUUUUGUGAACCCUAUGUAUAUGUGUAAAUAGAGUGAGACUUUGAAGUUUGUGAAUCAAAUUUAACGGAAACUAAUGGAUGGUAUAUUUGACACAAAUAUACUAGUUUAAAGUUCUUUGUGAUUAAAAAAUUAGUUCGAGGUAAAUUCGUUAUGGAUAUACUAGUUUAGGACUUUUUGUGGUUAAAAUUAAUUUGGGUAAAUUUAUCGCAAUAGUACUAAAUUGGGGGUUUUUGUGGUAUUAAACCUUAAUUUUAUGGCACUUCAAUCCGCUCCAAAUUUUUAAUCAUUUUAUAAUGUUUUUACAGUUUUUUAGAAAAUGGACAUCACGCGGCUAAACAUGAAAGCUUGAUAAAGAGUGAAGUAUUGCUGUCAGCAGGAUGAGCAAAAGACAUGUAUGAAUCAGGAAUCGCUUGGACUGUGCCGGACCAGUUCUCGGUUGCUGAAAACUUGAAUCAAUGGAUACAGGUCCGGUUUUUUUUAUGUUAGGUGUGGAAUUACCUAUUAAAUUUUUUUGUCAUAAAGAAAACCCGAAGUCAGACUCCAGACUUCUCUCUCUCUCUAACUCACGAUCCCUCUCUCUCUCAACUCGCUCAACUCACGACCUCGAGGGUCGUCGCUGAGUUACGCUUACUCUCGGCCUCGACGGUUUUUGAGGCACCAAUUUGCCUCUCGCCUCUUGCCGCCCAUUUACCUUAAUUUUUCCCUUUGUUUCGUCUGGUUUGGUUUUGACAUGGUGCGUCUCGAUGUCUUUUACAUGGUUGCUAUCUGUUUAUGGUUUUCUUGUCUCCAUUUUUUUGAGUCGUGGAUGGAUUCGCGAGGAAGAUGGGAUGGUCAAUGGGUAAUUGGCUCUUGAGUCUUGGAUUCGCAAUCCACCUGAGCUCAGGACUUGAUGUGAUUUUUCCACAAUUUUACCUGUGGACAUGUUCUGCUUAGCUAAAGAAUGAUCAGCUGGUGUUUUUUCUGCCUUUCUAUAUUCUAAUGUCGUUUGGUCAAGGGAGGUCAAGUGGAAAUUCUUUUAUUACAAGUGGCGAAAGUCAUUUUGGUGAAGUGCUGUUUCAGGUUACUGGUAGUCGUGAUCUUUUACGAAGCUUUCUUUGGAUUUUUGCCUGCAAGUGUCUAUGUUUGUCUGACGAUCAGGGAAGUCAUGUGUCCAUGGAUUCUGAAUUGUUGUAGGACAGGCAGGUAACUAACUUCAUGGGAUUGAUGUGGUUUGCUGCAUAUUGUAGCAUAACCUAGCUGCAAUGGAACAAAAAAAGAAUGAAACUGAAAAGAAAAGAAGAUGUGGCUGUUUCACGGUGGAACCUGAAACAAGCUUCAAACUGGCAGGUUCAGUUUCAAAGUCUGUUCUAGGGUCCACAGGGGUUGGUUCCCGGUUUCAAAAAUUGGGAACGAGUCCUGAUAGGGUAGGUUCUAGGUUUCAGACUUGGAACUGAUUUGCUGUUAAAAUUGAGAAUGAACCUGAGUUUGAUCAGGAGGUGAACUCAAUGAGUGGAAGCUAGGUUUAGAUUUUGAAUAUUAUUUCUUUCUCUGAAAUAAAAUCUAAUACAGCUAAAAUGCCUGUGCAACUUGUUCUGCCACCAUUGUUUAUUACAUGAGUUCGCCUAUGCUUUCUCAACUUGCUCUAUUAACAUAGUUAAGCAUUUCGUUUUGGGCCCUUGAUUUUAACUUUAUGAUUUGAUCGUUCUACUUCAUAGGAUGGUGCGGCAAAAGAGAAAGAGAAGACAAAGGAGAAGAAAAUGCGGAAGAGGAGGGAGGAAAAAGAGGUAGAAUUAUGAUCGAGGAAGAUCACUGUGUAAAAAAGUGAAAACUUUACCAAAAAAAAGAGAGAGGUAGAAUUGAGCAAAAUGUCAACAAAAUCCCAAAUAAUGUUGCAUAAAAGCUGAAUUACACGGAAAUAUUAUGAAGGAUUUUUUCGGUGUUGAUAUAAAAAUCCAAUUAACAUCACCUUCGGCCACCAACAACUCUGACAAAGGAUUAACAUCAUUGAAUGCCUAUAUACUUUGACAUCAUUUCUGUUUGAGUGCUCAUAACACAUUCUUCUCAAUGUCACUUUGCUUGACACGGGUUGAGGAAAAUUACUCUAUAAUAUUUUCAUCCAAUUUCGCCAUGUGAAGCAUUUUGGGAUUUUGUCGAGCAUAUUGCUCUUCCUAGGGACAUUUUUCUCAGCUUUGGCCUCUUUUUUGUUUCUCCUCCUCCUUUUCUUCUCCUUUGCCUUUCUCUACAUGGUCAAGCAGUUUGUCUCCUCAGCUUUUGCAUGGUGCCUAUGCAAAUUCUGGAUAUAUUGUUGAAGAGGGCUAGUGUUGAACCUGCUUGAAAGAAGCUAUCUGAACGGACUCCUGGCAGAGAUAAUUCCAUAUAAUGGCCAGCCAUGUAAAGUAGACUUAAUUGUGCUGAGGAAAGCAGGUAAAGAGUUGAGAAUUGGUGAAAGGCAGUUGAUGUUUCUUAUCUAAUCUAAGAACAUUGCUUUAACUUGUCAUCCACUUUUCUUGCAGUAUUCAAAAGGCCCUUCGCUAAUGAUUUUUUACUGUUUUGGUUUGAGAAAUUAGCUGGUGGGGUUUGGGGCCAAGUACGUUGUUCAAUCUGACCUGCAGUCUCCUUCUUUCUUGCACUUUCUUUCACACCAUCACAAGACUCUUUUCUGUGUACACGUGCGUGCAUGUGUGCAUGGUUGUUAGGAUUGCAGUCCAGAUUGUAGGAUCACGAUCAUUUGAUUCUACGACUCAAAAACUUUGAACAAUUUGGAUUCUAAGAAAAACGGUAGUCUGCAGGGGUCGUGAUCUGUAUCUUAGGAUGGCGAUCCCAACUACGAUUCCACUAUUCAAGCUUUAGAAGGCAAUUCUGCAUUUUUAGCUGGAGCAAAUAUGAAAUCGGGCCUCUGUUCCCUAGCGCAUGUGCCACUUUCUUCUUAAUCAUGUUCAGGGUCCAUUUGGAAAUUAUAAGGCUUGGAGAAUUAAGAAAAAAGGGAUGAAGAUGAAUGAACAGUAGAAAGCGAAGAAGUGCAGAGACACCAUCACUUCUUCUUCAGUCUUGAAUAAAUGAUGAGAUGGGCAUCGACCACUGUUGGAUUUCUUAACUGUCCCGUCGUUUGGAGAUGAGAGAGACAAAGCUUCUGUCAUUCUGCAACGAGAUGAGAGAGACCUCUACAUCCUUGAGAAAUUGGCGCACGAUUUGACUUGGCCUAGUAUCAUAAUAUCUUUGGAUGUAUACUGAUUAGAACUGACCUUAAACUUUAAACAGUUGAAAAACCUAGAAUAGCCAGUGAAAGUGAGUUUGUGAGAGAGAGAGAGAGAGAGAGUUCCGGGGGGGGGGGGGGGGUUAAAUUGGGGAGUGUGUCCCAGAUCGAGGGGAAUAAUAUAUUAUCCUUUGAAAUAAAGAAAGAGAUGAUAUGUAUUCCAAGAGAGAGAAGGACAAAAUAAAGGAUUAGAAAUUCGGAAAAGGCACGAAUGUAAUUUCUUGGCAGGCUUCUUCUUGAUUAUUAUGGUGAUUAUUUUAUGGUGAUCCUAUUUAAUACACCUUAAAAACUUGCGCAUGGAGAUUUUAUGCUUUUGCAUCUUUGACAUGGUGCUUUAAUUGUUAGUUCAAAAACUGGCAACCAAGAAUUUAAACCAGAGUAAUCUCUCACAUGAGAAUGCUACCUUUAAGCUUCACUAUCCCUCUUUUAAAGGUUAAUAUGCAUCUACUUUCAAUGAUUCAAGCAAGAAUUUAAUACUUAAAAUAUGUAGGAUCUUAUGAUCUUGAUCUGAUCUGGAAGACUUCAAAAGGAUCCUACUUAGCAUCUCGAUCCGGAUAACCUUUUUGUGUGUGUGACGAAGAUUGCCCAGCUUUAAUAUUUAUUGUGAAUUUAUUUGAUCUUAGUUAUAUAUUUGACAGGAGAAAUAUGGAUCCAGUUGUAAAGUUUCUAAUGGGCGACUCCAGAGUGAAACUGCUUUUCUGUUGGCUAAGCAGCUUUCACAUGGAGCUUUUCUUCUCUAUGUCAGUAUCUGUCUUGUCCCUGUGCUCAUAUUGCAUGGAUGGAGACUGACUGCAGAACAUGAAGAAAGAGUAAGGGCAAUUUUACAGUUCCUCAUCAGUUUGGUGUAAGAUUGAUCUCUGAAGCAUAAUGGGCCUUAGAGCCUUGAGUGUAGGACUAGCCUCUUUAAUUUCAGCAAAAGAGUGUGGAGAAUCUGUCUUUGUUUGCUUCUAUUACGGAAUCCUACGGCUUCCUUUGCUUCAGAUGGAAUGAAUAGCUAGUAUUUGUUCUCCAACAGGUUAUAUUCACUUUGAUGCUUCAAGUUGUCCGUUUUAUCCAGUGAGGGUACUCAGCUAAUUAAUAUACAAUGUCAAGUAGUAUGUUAUAUGAUUAACUUUUCCCUUUUAACUUUGUGCUUGCAUCGCUUCUACCUGAAUAUAUAUGUAUAUCCUUGGAAGUGAGCCAUAUUUUACCCUGCAUGUUUAAACUUUAUGAUACUUGAAGUCUUUCACAUUAGCAAGAAUCCUUAACAUCCUUGGUUAAGUUGAAAAUUAACUUUGUACCCCUGAUAUGCCCCCCUUUCCAUUUUUGUAUUUUUCCUUAUAUCCUUGGUUUAAUUACACUAAUAUUUUGCUUACAAUGCCAAAUUGGUAAAAGCAUAGACUUAAACUACUGUGAGUAACCGUUUCUUUGGUAGCUAUUAAUUUUGAUAGCUUACGUGGACCACAGUGGUGCUGUUUGUUCGUGUUUUCAUCUCUCUCGGUUCAUUGCCAAAUCCGCAAUUGUUGACCAAGAUUGAUCCAAACAGAGCUUUGCUUCAACUUAGGUGAGUGAUUACCUGUUCUAAUUGUUCCAAAUCCAUUGUUGUUUAUACCGUCUGUUGUUUUUUCUGAUUCUAUUCAACCCCAUUUCUGGUGUUUUUCUUGCUCUUUGGUUAUGCCCUUACAAGAGUUAGUGCCCUUUUGCCUCGUCAAGAUUCCUGUUGAGAGUUUUUGGUUUGUGAUUACUAUUUUAUUACCCUUCAAUAUUGCGUUUCUUACCUUUACAAGUUGUGGUUCUUCUUCUUACAUGCUCAUCGGAAUAGAUGGAUUAUAUUUUGCAUCGAUAGCCAAAACAAAUGGUCAAACACCCAAUAAAAAAACAAAUGCCAAAAGUGGCAUGGGAGGAAGUGUCUUCUCAGUCGGAUAUGAAUGAAGAUUCGACUAACUCCUAUGAGCAUACUAAUCAUAUGAGAAGUGCCACAUGGGGUUAUUAUACAUGUUUCAUGUACAUGUUUGCUUUUAUGACUUAUUGAACCUGCUAACCUAUGGCUUCUGUGAUGGAUGUACUAUCUGCUGAUCAUAUGAUGUCGUUGUGUCAUUGGGUGCAUUGUGCUUGGUUUGGUAGGAAGGAGGGAUGUGUUGUGCAAUUUGGAAAAUUUUGUUACAAGGAUGAAUGCUUGGUAGAUGUACAUUUUUUGAGUUUGUUUAGACUUUAAGCUAAUUCUAGCUUUGUUAUUAAAUGCAUGAAAUCAAAUGUGCAGACAAAGGAGGUGAAUAAACUUACCUCCUUGCCAAUUGCAUAUUUUUUUGGCUGACAUGAAUGAAUGUGGUUUAGACCAUCCUAAUAGGAAUUAUAUCUGUGUUUCUGUUAUUAAAUGUCGGUUGAUUUCUAUGAGAAUUUAAUGUUGUUCUGAUAAGGCUUCCCAAGGAACAAUUGCUGUCCUCACUUGCGGCUGUUUCAGACAAAUUUAUCAGCAAAAUAAGGGUCAUGUUAAGAAGCUCAUUCGUUUGCUGUUUUCUUACAGAGUAGCAUGGCCUUUCUAUUAAUGCAAGUAUAGCUGAUCAGGAGACAGUCCAAAGGCUGAUUUUGUAUUUGGGAGUAUCCAUCCUGAUUCAGAGGUUGCUGAUAAUAUCAUUUGGAGGACUUCUCCUGCUAUUGAUGUGGAUUCUAUCAAAUCGUUCAGAGAUAUGAAGCUGCUGCGUGUUCUUUUUAGUUGUAGUCCAAGUUGAAUUGUAACUCUUUUUUUAGGUCAAGCAUGAUCAGAGAACCAGCUGGAUAUUUUUGUGGGAAGAAGAGAAUUCGUAGGGUGAUCCCACCAUAUCUAUUGUAAUCAUCUAAGUUGGUUGUACCUCUUCUCUCUUUUCUUUUUGAACCGUAUACCAACUUCGUUGCUAAUGUGCUAUUGGUUUUCUGUUGUAAUCAUCUAGUGCCAAAUGAAGAGAGAUUUGUGGACCUCAUUUAAAGCAUAAAUACUUUUCAAUAUCUUUCUUUAAGCACAUGUGGUUCAUUCUCAUUGGAAAACCAAGAUAAUACUAUUGGCUAUAGAACACAAGUAGAUGGUCCAGGGGAAAUAUAUGAUCCAGCAUUCAUCACAUUUAACCUCACUUUGUGUAAGGAAGAAUAGUAAAUACUGUUUGUGCUACUGUGAGAAAGAGCAACACAAUGGCUGCGAGAACGGACAAGGAAGCCCAAGGACUAUGGAAAUAUUCCCUCCUCAGUUUCGCCAUCCAGGCGUUCCACUUCUUCGUGUAAUGUGCAUUCACAUUGUUGAAGAUCUCGAAAUAAUAAGGAUAAGAUACCGUGACGUGGUCAUAGGUCCUGUGAACAUAUGCGCAACCACCUUGUCAUCACCCAAGUAGUUCUUAAUAAUCCCUGCGCGGCGAAGCACCUCGACAUCCCCUUUAGAGGUUACGAGGCAAUCCGUGAAGGUAAUAUAAUCUGUGAAGUAGUUGAUGUCUCUGCUUUGAUGAUGCUGCUCGUACGCGAUCAGGUUUCGAAAAUUUGAUUCGGUGUCGUCCUCUACACAGAAGGCCAGUAACUCGAGUGUCCCGUUCUUGAAUUUGAUGUCGCUCAGUGCGCACCCUUGCGCAGCCCUAAACCUGACUCCUGACUCCGUUAGCUCAGUCGCCGAGGGCAUGACUGGUGUGCAGUUCAGGUGGGGCGUUUCAGGCAAGCCAGAAGUGCACCACGCGUGAUACAGAUGCAGAAGAUGUUCCCAGUUGCCAAUCGUCAAAUUUCGGUCGGGGUUUUUUCGUUCACCCUGGAAGUACAUGAUGACGACUUUGCUGAACUCAUGAUGCUCGUCCUCAGUCAGGUCAUAUAGCUUGCUCAAGACGAAAAGUGGGAGUUGGUUCUCUAGCAGCAGUAAAUCGCGCCUAAUGCUAUUUCGAUUCCCACAUUCAUUCAUAACCGGGUCGUCUUUGUCUGUCGCUAUCAUCCGAUUGUACUUACGGAAGAACUCAACGAUGAAACAUCCAUCAAUGAGCAUCAUCGCAAGAAACUUUUCUUGGGAGAGGUCAAUGGUUUCCGCAUAGCAAUUACGCGCCCGCUGUUCCAGUUCCCUGAGAGUCGGCAUAUACCUGUCGACACUCUCCUUUCUCCUAUCAAGCAAUUGCUGCAGGUAUCGCAGUUUUUGCUCCUCCAUGAAUUUGAACUUGCCAUUUCCAUAGUGAUAAGGGCCGAUGGCUAGGAUCUCUGGGUCAUAGGCUUUCUCGUUGACUUCGCGCAGUUGAUUACGAACCCUAAAUAUACAAUGCUCCGGCGAAGUGGGAGGCAUACUUCGAAGCAUAUUCUCGAUGUGGAUUGAGGCAUGAUCUCGCACCCUGAAACGGUCGUAGAUCCCAGCAUGCUGUAUUGGCUACGACAUAAUUAAUGUGAUAAUAAGCACUUGGUAAAGCAAGAUGAUUGUUUUACAUGUGCUUCCGAGGACAAAUUUGUAUUUUUGUGCGAAUAUUGAUGGACAAUACAAAUUAAGCACCGUGGUUGAACACGUGGUGUGGACAUUCAAUACAAACAGAUGGAUAGCUGAGGAAAAAUUACGAAACCCGUAAUAUUGCUCCUUAUAAUAUUGCUCUGAGAAUAAAUUAACAGCUGUAUGGGCUUUUUACUUUUGAGCUUCGGAGAACCCCUUUUGCUCUAUGGACGAGUUUUGACUUUUGGGAAGGCAAAAGAACAGCACAAGUACCAAACUUGGCAUGGAAUACUUAAGUGUCACUUCAUUUUGAAAAUUGGGAUAUCUAAUUUCUAAGUGUGGUGACCUUGGCCAAAAAUUCUACGUGACAAUUUUUUAAUAAUAUAACUCGUCUACGUGACUUGUCGGAGAGUUGAAUCAAUAAAAAAAAAACCAAAACUAUAUCGUUUUACCUUUUAUUUUGUUUUAUUUUAAUAUAAAUGUUCAUUAAAUUAAAUUAUUUUGGAAAAACAAAUGAAGAUUGCAAAACAGCGAGGGCUCAGCCCCUGCCGCCCUCACUGAGGAGGGUUGGCAAUGAUGGGGGAAGGGUUGAUUAGGGUCGCUGGCCCCUGGCCAAGGCUCGACGACCCUGGCCGACUAGUGGUGAGGGCCUACAUCCCUCACCCAGCUCUAGGGCGAGGGUCGUGGCCCUCCCCCAGAUCCAGCAAGACCCCCCAACCAGUGUUGGCCCUUGGCCUAUUAAGUGAGGGUCAGCGACCCUCGUCAGAUCUAGGAGAGGGCUACAACCCUCACCCCGGAUCUAAGUUAGGGCUUACGAGCCCUCACCACUAGGGCUCGGCUACCUCGAUUGACUCUACCCCCACCAUCGCUGGCUCUUCCGAGUGAUAGUGGCAAGGCGGCGGUGAGGAGGGCUAGCAUAGCCCUCACCAUUCUACAACCCUCUGUUUAUUUUUUAUUUUUAAAAAUUUUCAGUUUUAAAUUUAAGUUAAGUAAUAUUUAUAUUAAAAUUCAAAUUCGAGGGAAAACGAUGUCGUUUCAGCUUACUAACCACGUUAGCAUGCAAAAUAACAUUGUUUUUUUGCUUAUUUAGCCACGUCGUCAUUUUUCACUUGUCUCAUAAAAAAACUGCUACGUUAGCAUUUUGACUAGAUUUUCUCACCGUUAACACUUGACUAAUCUAUUUUGCUUCGAUUUCGACACUUAAAUAUAUAUUUCCUAACUUUUGACACUGGACUAAAUUUUGGCAUUCUAAGGAUCCAGGUCUCCUUUUAAGAAUUUGAGUCCCAAAUUUUUCUCUCUCCAGCCACCAAGCAAGGACAACCUUUUAGACACUAACAUGUGAAUUUUAAAACUAAUUGGGGUGUUCUUAUUGUGAGCUACUUACCAUCGAUGUUGAAGGCGUAAGAACCACGCUGAAUAGUUUUAAACUACAUAAGAAGAAUACUUGGAAUGAAAUUCGACUAAGAUAAAAUACAGAAAUGUUAUUAAACGCGAUGAGAACUGAGGAUUUCAGGUUAGAGAAGGUAAGACAAGCUUCUAGCUAAAUAACAUAUAAAUGACUGCUUUUUAAAAAAAUAUAAAAUUCUACCUAAGAAUAUAAGGAAUUUUUUGACCUAGGGAGGCAAGGCUGCCAGUGGCCUGGUACUACUGAUUAAAUGGUAGACAUAAGUUUAGAAAUUAUUUGUGUGAUAACCCUCUCUAGAAGGAUGAAAGCAAUCGGUAACUAAACCAAGAGAAGACAAAAUUGAUGCUUGAGUGACUGUCUAGCUGAGACAUGUUAGUUAACGUAAUUUUGGCGCCCUAAAUUAGAUCGAACGUGUAUGAUUUAAUUUUAAGUGCUUGCCAGAAUCAUGUUAAUUAAUGGACCAUAACUCAGAAUUGAAAUGGUCUCAUCCUUCAACAUUAUGUUUUUCUUUUCUCAGUGUGAAUAGGAAGGGAAAUUCGCAGGACUUACUUGAUUACGUUGGUGGUUGCUCAUUCUUCUCACCAAGCUAGACCAGCUACUAUCACACAGUAUCCAGUUCUUCUCUUUUUCUGGUUAGAACAUGCGAUCGUACAUGGCGAGAGCGAGAGAGAAGAGGGCGACGAUGCUAACAGAUAUUGAGGCGAUCGAUGGAGGAAGAAUCAGCAGGUUGGAUGCGUGAAAACAUGCGAUCGUACAUGGCGAGACCGAGAGAAUAAGAAACCUUGCGUUGUCGCGGAUAGAUGCAUUUCGGCUUGGGCUUUUCGAGCCCGGAUUUCCGAAGCCCGAGAGGCUCAUCCUCGUCAACCAUUUAGUUAAACAGAUGCUAAUUAAAUAAUCCUUUGUUCAAAUAUUAUUGUAAUUUACAAUUCCCUAGCAUGAAAUUACUACUAUCACCUAGAGGCAAAAUGAGACUACCGCAUACACCAACCAUUUAUACAAAAUUCAAACACAUUUUUCUUUGGCCCAUCGACCUUGGUCGUCACUACUUCCGACGGUAGAGGGUACUGCAAUAAGAAAUAUGAAGUCAUCCACAAGUUGCAUUGUACUAUGUGGACCAUUUCACAAAAUUUCACGGAAUUUGUGGAAAGAGUCCUACAUUCUACCUGCUAGCUAGAAAAUAAUAGUCUUCACGAUGGAGGCAACUUGUACAAUUGUGAUAAAUGCAUAUAUAAAAAUGCUUGCCAAAUUCUCUGGAUUGGUGUGGUAGAACAAUGUGUUAAGAGAUUAUCAAGUUGCGUAUUUAGAUUUCACAGACUAUAUGUAAACUAUUCUCUGUAUUCCAAUAAACUGUGAGAAAUAUAUGAUCACAUUUAUUUUUGCUUUGUGUAAGAAAGAAUAGUAAAUACUAUUUGCCCUACUACUGUGAGAAGGAACAUUUACUUGCUUGUUGUGGAGGUGCGUACGUAUGAAAGAUUUUGAUUGUUGUCUUAAAUUUCACAGUCAUACGAGCUUGCUUUUGGUAAAUAUAAGCGAGUGGAGAAAUUCUUGACAUUUUACGCACUUAAUAUGCUUCCUUUUCUGAUAUUUUUAGCAUCAUUAUUGGUAGAGAUCCUAGUUAGACUGCCCUUUAAGAGUAUCAUUCGUGUUUACUACAUCAUUGAAGGACUAGGUCUCGUGAACCGUCCUAGCUGACAUGAUUUUGCUUUAUGUACAUUAGUUUGGAUACACUUUAAUUUAGGAUACUACGAAAUCCCAAAUUAAUAUAAUUAUAAAUUUAUCUCAAAUUAAUUUUUUGACUACAAAAAACUCCAAACUAAUAUAUUUGUGAAAAAAUUUCCCCUAUUUUAGUUUUAGUAAAAUUUUACUGUCAAAUUUUUUAGUCGGAUGAUAUGUGAUAGUUAACUGGUAUAACAGUUUGAUGUUUUACGUUCAGUUUCUAGUUUUGUAGUUUUUCAUAAUAUUAAUCAAAUUUAACGGAAACUAAUAGAUGGUAUAUUUGACACAAAUAUAUCAGUUUGAAGUUCUUUGUAAUAAAAAAAUUAAUUCGAGGUAAAUUCGUUAUGUGUAUACUAGUUUGGGGCUUUUUGUGGUCAAAAAUUAAUCCGGGGUAAAUUUAUCGCAAGAGUACUGAAUUGAGGGUUUUCGUGGUAUUAUUCCUUAAUUUUAUGACACUUUAGUCUGUUCCAAAAUUUUAAUCAUUUUAUAAUGUUUUUAUAUUUUUAGAAAAUGGACCUCACGUGGCUAAAUAUGAAAUCUUGAUAAAGAGUGAAGUAUUGUUGUCAGCUGUAGGAUGAGCAAAAGAAAUGUCUGAAUCAGGAACUGCUCGGACCGAGGCAGGCAGACAAGUCCUCGGUUGCUGAAAACUUGAGUAAGUGGAUGUUGGUCCGGUUUUUUUUAUAUUAGGUGUGGAAUUCCCUAUUUAAUUUUUUUGUCAUAAAUAAAGCCCGAAGUCAGACUCCAGACUUCUCUGUCUCUCUUCUCUAACUCAUGAUCCCUCUCACUCUCAACUCGCUCAACUCACGACCUCGAGGCUCGUCGCUCAGUUACGCUCAAUCUCGGCCUCGACGGUUUUUGAGGCACCAAUUUGCCCCUCGCCUCUUGCCGCCCAUUUGCCUUAAUAUUUCCCUUUGUUUCGUCUGAUUUGUUUUUGUCAUGGUGCGUCUCGAUGUGUUUUACAUGGUUGCUAUCUGUUUAUGGUUUUCCUGUCUCCAUUUUUUUGAGUCGUGAUGGAUUCGCGAGGAGAUGAGAUGUCGAUGGGUCAUAGCUUUCGAGUCUGAUUCGCAUCCACCUGAGCUCAGACUUGAUGUGAUUUUACACAAUUUUACCUGUGGACAUGUUUCUGCUUAGCUAAAUAAUGAUCAGCUGGUGUUUUUUCUGCCUUUCUAUAUUCUAAUGUCGUUUGGUCAAGGGAGGUCAAGUGGAAAUUCUUUUAUUAAAAGUGGCGAAAGUCAUUUUGGUGAAGUGCUGUUUCAGGUUACUGGUAGUCGUGAUCUUUUAUGAAGAUUUCUUUGGAUUUUUGCCUGCAAGUGUGUAUGUUUGUCUGACGAUCAGGGAAGUCAUGUGUCCAUGGAUUCUAAAUUGUUGUAGGACAGGCAGGUAACUAACUUCAUGGGAUUGAUGUGGUUUGCUGCAUAUUGUAGGAUAACCUAGCUACAAUGGAACAAAAAAAGAAUGAAACUGGAAAAAAAAAAAAUUGAAGUGGCUGGUUCUCGAUGGAACCUGAAAGCAGCUUGAAACUGGCAGGUUUGGUUUCAAAGUCUGUUCUAGGGUCCACAGGGGUUGGUUCCCAGAAUAAAAACUUGGGAACGAGUCCUGAUAGGGUAGGUUCUAGGUUCCAGACUCGGAACUGAUUUGCUGUUAAAAUUGAGAAUGAACCUGAGUUUGAUCAAGAGGUUAACUCAAUGAGUGGAAGCUAGGUUUAGAUUUUGAGUAUUAUUUCUUUCUCAGAAAUGAAAUGUAAUGGAGGUAAAAUGCCUGUGCAACUUGUUCUGCCAGCAGUGUUUAUUACAUGAGUUCGCCUUUGCUUUCUCAACUUGCUCUAUUAACACAGUUAAGCAUUUCGUUUUGGGCCCUUGAUUUUAACUUUAUGAUUUGAUCUUUCUACUUCACAGGAUGGUGCAGCAAAAGAGAAAGAGAAGAGAAAGGAGAAGAAAAUGCAGAAGAGGAGGGAGGAAAAAGAGGUAGAAUUGAGCAAAAUGUCAACAAAAUCCCAAAUAAUGUUGCAUAAAGGCUGAAUUACACGGAAAUAUUAUGAAGGAUUUUUUCGGUGUCGAUAUAAAAAUCCAAUUUAACAUCACCUUCGGCCACCAACAACUCUGACAAAGGAUUUACAUCAUUGAAUGCCUAUUUACUUUGACACCAUUUCUGUUUGAGUGCUCGUAACACAUUCUUCUCAAUGUCUCUUUGCUUGACACGGGUUGAGGAAAAUUACUCUAUAAUAUUUUCAUCCAAUUUGGCCAUGUGAAGCAUUUUGGGAUUUUGUUGAGCAUAUUGCUCUUCCUAGGGACAUUUUUCUCAGCUUUGGCCUCUUUUUUCUUUCUCCUUCUCCUUUUCUUCUCCUUUGCCUUUCUCUACAUGGUCAAGCAGUUUGUCUCCUCAGCUUUUGCAUGGUGCCUGUGCAAAUUUUGGAUAUAUUGUCGAAGAGGGCUAGUGUUGAACCUGCUUGAAAGAAGCUAUCUGAACGGACUCCUGGCAGAGAUAAUUCCACAUAAUGGCCAGCCAUGUCAAGCAGACUUAAUUGUGCUGAGGAAAGCAGGUAAAGAGUUGAGAAUUGGUGAAAGGUAGUUGAUGUUUCUUAUGUAAUCUAAGAACAUAGUUCUAACUUGUCAUCCACUUUUCUUGCAGUAUUCAAAAGGCCCUUUGUUAAUUAUUUUUUACUGUUUUGCUUUGAGAAAUUAGCUGGUGGGGUUUGGGGCCAAGUACGUUGUUCAAUCUGACCUGCAAUCUCCUUCUUUCUUGCACUUCCUUUCACACCAUCACAAGACUCUUUUCUGUGUACACGUGCGUGCAUGUGUGCAUGGUUGUUUGGAUCGCAAUCCGGAUUGUAGGAUCACGAUCAUUUGAUUCUACAACUCAAAAACUUUGAACAAUUUGGAUUCUAAGAAAAAUGGUAGUUUGCAGGGGUCGUGAUCUGUAUCUUAGGAUGGCAAUCCCAACUACGAUUCCACUGUUCAAGCUUUAGAAGGCAAUUCUGCCUUUUUAGCUGGAGCAAAUAUGAAAUCGGGCCUCUGUUCCCUAGCACAUGUGCCACUUUCUUCUUAAUCAUGUUUAGGCUCCAUUUGGAAAAUAUAAGGCUUGGAAAAUUAAGAAAAAAGGGAUGAAGAUGAAUGAACAGUAGAAAGCGAAGAAGUGCAGAGACACCAUCACUUCGUCUUCAAUCUUGAAUAAAUGAUGAGAUGGGCAUCAACCACUGUAGGAUUUCUGAACUGUCCCGUCCUUUGGAGAUGAGAGAGACAAAGCUUCUGUCCUUCUGCAACCAGAUGAGAGAGACCUCUACAUCCUUGAGAAAUUGGAGCACGAUUUGACUUGGCCUAGUAUCAUAAUAUCUUUGGAUGUAUACUGAUUAGAACUGACCUUAAACUUUAAACAGUUGAAAAACCUAGAAUAGCCAGUGAAAGUGAGUUUGAGAGAGAGAGAGAGAGAGUUGGGGGGGGGGGGUGGGGGAGGAGUGGGCAGGUGGGCUAAAUUGGAGAGUGUGUCCCAGAUCGAGGGGAAUAAUAUAUUAUCCUUUGAAAUAAAGAAAGACACCAUAUGUAUUGCAAGGGAGAGAAGGACAAAAUAAAGGAUUAGAAAUUCGGAAAAGGCACAAAAGUAAUUUCUUAUCAGGCUUCUUCUUGAUUAUUAUGGUGAUUAUUUUAUGGUGAUCCUAUUAAAUACACCUUAAAAACUUGGGCAAGGAGAUUUUAUGCUUUUGCAUCUUUGACAUGGUGCUUCAAUUGUUAGUUGAAAAAGUGGCAACUAAGAAUUUAAACCAGAGUAAUCUCUCACAUGAGAAUGCUACCUUUAAGCUUCACUAUCCCUCUUUUAAAGGUUAAUAUGCAUCUACUUGCAAUGAUUUAAGCAAGAAUUUAAUACUUAAAAUAUGUAGGAUCUUAUGAUCUUGAUCUGAUCUGGAAGACUUCAGAAGGAUCCUACUUAGCAUCUCGAUCCUGAUAACCUUUUUGUGUGUGUGACAAAGGUUGCCUAGUUUUAAUAUUUAUUGUGAAUUUAUUUGAUCUUAGUUAUAUAUUUGACAGGAGAAAUAUGGAUCCAGUUGUAAAAUUUCUAAUGGGCGACUCCAGAGUGAAACUGCUUUUCUGUUGGGUAAGCAGCUUUCACAUGGAGCUUUUCUUCUCUAUGUCAGUAUCCGUCUUGUCCCUGUGCUCAUAUUGCAUGGAUGGAGACUGACUGGAGAACAUGAAGAUAGAGUAAGGGCAAUUUUACAGUUCCUCAUUAGUUUGGUGUAAGAUUGAUCUUUGAAGCAUAAUGGGCCUAAGAGCCUUGAGUGUAGGACUAGCCUCUUUAAUUUCCGCAAAAGAGUGGAGAAUCGGUCUUUGUUUGCUUCUAUUAUGGAAUCCUGUGGCCUCCUUUGCUUCAGAUGGAAUGAAUAGCUAGUAUUUGUUCUCCAACAAGUUAUAUUCACUUUGAUGCUUCAAGUUGUCCAUUUUAUCCAGUGAGGGUACUCAGCUAAUUAAUAUACUAUAUCAAGUAGUAUGUUAUAUGAAUAAAUUUUCCAUUUUAAUUUUGUGAUUGCAUCGCUUCUACCUGAAUAUAUAUGUAUAUCCUUGGAAGCGAGCCAUAUUUUACCCUGCUUGUUUAAACUUUAUGAUACUUGAAGUCUUUCACAUUAGCAAGAAUCCUUAACAUCCUUGGUUCAGUUGAAAAUUAACUUUGUACCCAUAAUAUGCCCCCCUUUCCAUUUUUGUAUUUUUCCUUAUAUCCUUGGUUUAAUUACACUAAUAUUUUGCUUACAAUGCCCAAUUGGUAAAAGCAUAGACUUAAACCACUGUGAGUAACCGUUUCUUUGGUAGCUAUUCAUUUUGAUAGCUUACCUGGACCAAAGUGGUGCUGUUUGUUCGUGCUUUCAUCUCUCUCAAUUCCUUGCCAAAUCCGCAAUUGUUGACCAAGAUUCAUCCAAAUGGAGCUUUGCUUCAACUUAGGUGAGUGAUUAUGAGUUGUAAUUGUUCCGAAUCCAUUGUUGUUUAUACCGUCUAUUGUUUUUUCUGAUUCUGUUCACCCCCCUUUCUAGCGUUUUUCUUGCUCUUUGGUUAUGCUCUUACAAGAGUGAGUGCCUUUUGCCUCUUCAAGAUUCCUGUGAAGAGUUUUUGGUUUUUGAUUAGUAUUUGAUUACCCUUCAAUAUUGCGUUUCUUACCUUUACAAGUUGUGGUUCUUCUUCUUACAUGCUCAUCGGAAGAGAUGGAUUAUAUUCUGCAUCGACAGCCAAAAUAAAUGGUCAAACACCCAAUUAAAAAAACAAAUGCCAAAAGUGGCAAGGGAGGAAGUGUCUUCUCAGUCGGAUAUGAAUGAAGAUUCGACUAACUCCUAUGAGCAUACUAAUCACAUGAGAAGUGCCACAUGGGGUUGUUAUACAUGUUUCAUGUACAUGUUUGCUUUUACGACUUAUUGAACCUGCUAACCUGUGGCUUCUAACCUGUGAUGGAUGUACUAUCUGCUGAUCAUAUGAUGUCGUUGUGUCAUUGGGUGCAUUGUGCUUGUUUUGGUAGGAAGGAGAGAUGUGUUGUGCAAUUUGGAAAAUUUUGUUACAAGGAUGAAUGCUUGGUGGAUGUACUAUAUUUUGAGUCUCUAUUUAGACUUUAAGCUAAUUCUAGUUUUGUUAUUAAAUGCAUGAAAUCAAAUGUGCAGAGAAAGGAGGUGGAUAAACUUACCUCCUUGCCAAUUGCAUAUUUUGUUGGCUGACAUGAAUAAAUGCGCUUUAGACCAUCCUAAUAGGAAUUAUAUCUGCGUUUCUGUUAUUAAAUGUCGGUUGAUUUCUAUGAGAAUUUAAUGUUGUUCUGAUAAGGCUUCCCAAGGAACAAUUGCUGUCCUCGCUUGGGGCUGUUCCAGACAAAUUUAUCAACAAAAUAAGGCUCAUGUUAAGAAGCUCAUUGGUUUGCUGUUUUCUUACAGAGUAGCAUGGCCUUUCUAUUAAUGCAAGUAUAGCUGAUCUGGAGACGGUCCAAAGGCUGAUUUUGUAUUUGGGAGUAUCCAUCCUGAUUCAGAGGUUGCUGAUAAUAUCAUUUGGAGAACUUCUUCUGCUAUCGAUGUGGAUUCUAUCAAAUCGUUCAGGGAUACGAAGCUGCUGCGUGUUCUUUUUAGUUGUAGUCCAAGUUGAAUUGUAACUCUUUUUUUAGGUCAAGCAUGAUCAGAGAACCAGCUGGAUAUUUUUGUGGGAAGAAGAGAAUUCGUAGGGUGAUCCCACCAUAUCUAUUGUAAUCAUCUAAGUUGGUUGUACCUCUUCUCUCUUUUCUUUUUGAACCUUAUACCAACUUUGUUGCUAAUGUGCUGUUGGUUUUCUGUUGUAAUCAUCUAGUGCCAAAUGAAGAGAGAUUUGUGGACCUCAUUUAAAGCAAAAAUACUUUUCAAUAUCUUUCUUUAAGUACAUUUGGUUCGUCCUCAUUGGAAAACCAAGAUAAUACUAUUGGCUAUAGAACACAAGUAGAUGGUCCGGGGGAAAUAUAUGAACUGGCACUCAUCACAUUUAACUUUACUUUGUGUAAGGAAGAAUAGAAAAUACUGUUUGUGCUACUGUGAGAAAGAGCAACACAAUGGCUGCGGGAACGGACAAGAAAGCCCAAGGACUAUGGAAAUAUUCCCUCUUCAGUUUCGCGAUCCAGACGUUCCACUUAUUCUUGUAAUGUGCAUUCACAUUUGGGAAGAUCUCGGAGUAAUAGGAAUCGGAUACAGCGACAUGGUCACCGAUCUUGUUGAACAUCUGUGCAAUAACCUUGUCAUCGCCUAGGUAGUUCUUAACAAUCCCUGCGUGGCGAAGCACCUCGACGUCCUUUGAAGAGCUUAUGAGGCAAUCCAUGAAGGUCACGUAAUCCGUGAAGUAGUUGAUGUCUCUGCUUUGACGAUGCUGCUCAUAUGCGAUCAGGUUUCGAAAAUUUGAUUCGGUGUCAUCCUCUACAUACAAGACCAGUAACUCGAGUGUCCCGUUCUUGAAUUUGAUGUCGCUCAGUUCGCGCCCUUGCGCAGCCCUAAACCUGACUCCUGACUCCCUUAGCUCAAUCGCCGAGGGCAUGACUGACCUGACUACUGACUUCCUUAGCUCAAUCGCCGAGGGCAUGACUGGUAUGCAGUUCAGCUGGGGCGUUUCAGGCAAGCCAGAAGUGUACCACGCAUGAUAUAGAUGCAGAAGAUGUUCCCAGCGCCAAUCGUCAAAUUUCGGCUGGGGCUUUUUCGUUCACCUGGAAGUACAUGAUUGCGACUUUGCUGAACUCAUGAUGCUCGUCCUCAGUCAGGUCAUAUGGCUUGCUCAAGACGAAAAGUGGGAGUUGGUUCUCUAGCAGCUGUAAAUCGCGCCUGAUGCUAUUUAUAAUCCCACGUCCACGCAUAACCGGGUCGUCUCUGUCUGUCGGUAUCAUAUUAUUGUACUUACGGAAGAACUCAAUGAUGAAACAGCCAUCAAUGAGCAUCAUCGCAAGAAACUUUUCUUGGGAGAGGUUGAUGGUUUCCGCAUAGCAAUUACGUGCCCGCUCUUCCAGUUCCCUGAGAGUCGGCAUAUAGCUAUCAACGCUCUCCUUUCUCCUCUCAAGCAAUUGCUGCAGGUAUCGCAGUUUUUGCUCCUCCAUGAAUUUGAACUUGCCAUUUUCACAGUGAUAAGGGCCGAUGGCUAGGAUCUCUGGGUCAUAGGCUUUCUCGUUGACUUUGCGCAGUUGAUGACGAACCCUAAAUAUACUACGCUCCGACAAAGUG
This 58914-nucleotide long non-coding RNA is filed under the name Eucalyptus grandis. RNAcentral's name for it is "long non-coding RNA (EGRA_LNC004962)". The record is from RNAcentral. Lineage: Eukaryota; Viridiplantae; Streptophyta; Magnoliopsida; Myrtales; Myrtaceae.